RNAcentral lists this long non-coding RNA (81210 nucleotides) under Brassica napus (rape). RNAcentral's name for it is "long non-coding RNA (BNAP_LNC003521)". Lineage: Eukaryota; Viridiplantae; Streptophyta; Magnoliopsida; Brassicales; Brassicaceae. The record is from RNAcentral.
CGUUGUCCUCCUAUUUCUUAAUAGAUAAAAGUCCGAUUUUUUCAAAAAAACAUGUAUUUUUAUAUUUAAAACAAAAAGGAGGUCUAAAUUUUUUUAUAUAAAAUAUUUUUUUUAUUUCCAUAGAUUUAUUUUUAAAAAUACUUCUGGUAUUUCGAAAAAAACAUAUAUCUAUCAUAUUUUUUUAAAAAAAUAAUUGUUUGGAAAUUAAUUUUUUUUUUUGCCCAGAACCCAUAACACCAUUAAACCAGUCCUGCGUUUCCUCACCGCUUCUCAGGCAUUACCAUUGAAAAAGUUCGAGUUCGACAAAUACAAGCAAUUUUUUCUUUGAACUAAUAUAUUAAGUAUGCAUGGAUUCCACCUAAUGUUUAGCACACUGCACAUAUGAUUUGGCUGUGAUUUCAUUAUGUUUUUCUUCUUUGAAUAAGAAUAUCAUGGGUUAGCAUAUUUAUUAUUCAUGAUCUUAGCCACAAUCUAUCUUAUUAAAACUCAAGUACAAAAUUAGAGUGUUUGGAGACUUGAAUAGGACUUUUAAAAAUUUGGAGUGUUUGGAAACAUGGAUUGCAGUCUUUUAAAAAAAAAUAUUUUUGUUUGAAAACAAGGAUAGUAGUAUUAAGAAAAAAAGUAAUGGGCUUAUGUUUUUUAAAAAAAUUGAAAGUUAUCUAGGCCACUUUUAAAAUAUACCAAAAUGGGUCAAUCUAAUUCCCUAAAAUUUUUUUUUCUAAACUAACCAUAAAACAAAAUUUAAACUUUAUAUACAUAUUUCAAAUCAAAAUAAUAAUUCAAAUUUGAUUUAUAUCAAAAAUUGAUUCAAAAAUAUACAUAUAUUCAAAAAUGGAUUUUUACUAAACUAUUUUUCAAUAACCAUUAUAAAAAAAUAUUGUCAAUAUAUAUAAGAAAAAUAUAAUACAAAGCCCAAUUUGAAAUACCAACUCAAAUUAUGGUUUUCAUAUUUCAUAUUAAGUUUUAAAAAUAUAAUAUAUGUAAUUAUUUAUAUGAUGGUAUGUAUAAAAUACUAUUAAUUAUAUGAUUACUUAUAUGAUGGUACAUAUAAAAUACGAUUAAUUAUAUGAUGAUAAAAUACGAUAUAUAAUAAUGACUAGGGAUGGGCUUUUGGAUACCCAUACGGGUUUAGUUCUGAUCGGUUUGUAUUUUGAGUUUUCGGGGUCAAAGAUUUCAGCCUUAUUAGAAUGUUUCUAAAUUUUGGUUUGAGUUCGAUUUGGAUCUUUGCGGGUUUGGUUUGGGUUUGGAUAACUAAUUUAAAUUAUUUUUAAAGUCUUAAAUCAUUAUAUAUUUUAAAUUUCUCAAAAUGUAUAAAUAAAAUAAUAUAUUACGUAUAAAUUUGAAUAACAUAUGUCAUAAUACUUAAGCUUAACAUAUCAAUUGGCUUGAUUUAAAAUUUUGGAUACGAAAUCAAUAAUUAUUUUAAGUAUUUUUGGUGAUUUGAGUAUACUUUAACUAUUUCAGAUAUUUACUUUUGACUAUCUAUAUAUAUUUUCAAGUAUUUAAACCAAUUUAAAAGUAUCAUUUUUGAUGUUUUAUAUACGUUAAAUCUAAAAAUAAUUAAUAUAUAUAAGUAUAUAAAUCUAUUUUUAGAUAAAUUCGGAUACCCAAAUACUUCGGUUCGGAUCAGAUUCGGUUCUCUAAAUAACAAAAUUUUGAAUAAUUAGAAUAUUUAAUCAAUUUCUGUUUGGGUUUGGUACUAUAUCUUUGGAUCGGUAUCGGUUAUGUUCCUCGGAUUCAUUUUUCCAAUUCCUAAUAAUUACAUGAAAAACAAAUAUCAACAUAUUUUUCAAAAUAUACACCCGCGCGCCUGCGCGGGUCAAAAUCUAGUUCUAAUUUACAACCUACGUCAUACUGCAUGGUCUUUGAAUUCUCUAUCUAUGACCAUGGGCGGAACCAGAAUUGUUUUGAACAUCGGGCAUACAAACAUUUUUGAAUAAUAUGGGGCAUGUAAAGAUAUUUAGGCAAAUUUUAACAUCUAUCUUAUAUAUUAAAACAGAAGUCACAACCUUGAUUCAUGUGUGAUUUUCUUAAAAAUGGACCUAAUUGACCUAUUCAUAAAAAUUCAUAUUAUAUUUUAGUUCAGACUAAUAAUAAAUAGAAUUUUUAAAAUAUUUUAAUCAUAAUAUCUUUUGAUAUCUUUUCAUUUUAAAUAUAAAUAUAUUUAUUUUAAAAUUCUAACAAAUCUGUUUAAAAAGAUUUUUACAAGAUCUUCAUUUUCAUGCAUCCAAAAAUCUCGGGAUAUUAGCAAUUCUAAACGAUAAAAUGACAUCGUUUUAAUCAUUACACUAGAUUCUAACCCGUAUUUGAAAGGGCGGGUAUAUAUCUUGCUUUACAUUUUUUAGAAAUUUAAUUUUAUGUAUGAAUUUUUCUUUGUAAUCAUUUUUCGUAAAAUAUUUUUAAAAAUUAUUAGUAAGAGAUUUUGAUAAUUAUAUUGAAUUUUUAAUAUUGUGUAACUAUACAUUUAUACCAUAGCAAUUUCAAACAUUAAUUUUUGGGGUAUAUAUAUGGUUUAUAGAAGAAUUAGAUAUAAGCAUUAUUUUCAUACUCGAUCUAGACCCGCAGUUGAACCGAUACACCUGAUUGUAAAAUAUAUAUUUAGUAGAUGUAUUUGAUUAGUUAUAAUAUCAUUUGAAAGUUUAAUAAGAUAUAUAGAUUACAUCAUUUGAAACUUUAAUAAGAUAUAGUUUACAAAAUGAGGAGAUGCAUGUAAAAUAUUUUUUUUUUUUUGUGUAUGCUAAAUAUGUUAAAUUUGUUGAUAAUGAUAAAUUUUGUACUUGUGCAUGAUUUUAUAUUCUGCUUAAUAGGUUAAAUAUGAUAAAUUUUAUCGACUAUCACAUCUAUUAUAUUAAAAGAGAAGUCAUGACUUCUUUCAUGUGUAAUAUUUAAAAAUGGACCAUUUCCUAGAAAGUUGUUUAAAAUAGUUAUAAUGAAAUUAUUAAAUCCAUAUAUAUUUGAUAAUUCAAAUAAAUAUUACUGCCUUAAUAAUAUUUCCAAAAUCUACAGAAUCUUAGUUCAUUUUAAUGUGUUUAAGAAUAUUUAAAAUGUAACCUAUUAACAUGUAACAAACAACCUUUCAAACAUCAGAAAACAACCACGUAACAAGAUAUUUGCAUAAACUGAUAACCAAUCAAUUACUAUUUUAACACAUGCACACGAUUAUAUAAAGCACAUAAAUGAAAAUCCUGUCCAUUUGGAAUUCUAAUCACAUUUCAUAUUCCUAUAACUAUUCUAAUAUAUUACCCAAAAAAUAUUAUUAACUUGACAUUAACCUUUAAGAAAAUUGUAUUAUCUAUUCUAUUAAAAUAGAAAUCACAACCUAAUUUCAUGUGUGAUUUUUUAAGUUGGACCAUCUCUUAGGAAAAUUACUUAAAUGACUUAUUUUAACUAUUCUAAAUAUCAAAUAUAUAUUUCGUUAUUUCUCUGAAUUACAUUUAAAUAAAAUCAUUCAUAUCCUUUUAUUUAAAAUAUAAAUAUAAAUAUAUAUAAUAUGUUUCAUUAAGGCAAAUAUUUAAUUACUUUUUUUUUAUUUAUAAUAUAAAUGUAUAUGUCGUUUUCACUUAAACAAACCUUUUAAAUAUUUAAUUAAUUUUGUAAUUAUUAAAAUAUAAAUGUAUGUUUCAUUUUUACUAAAAUAAACAUUUAAGUAUCUAAUUAAUUUUUUAAUUAUAUUAAACUCAAGUACAAUUUUGUAUUAAAUUUGUGAUAUUAAUUUAAAAUAAUAUAUUUCAACUAAAUCUUUCAUCUCUAACAGUUAUGAUUUGUUAAUUUAGAAUUUGGUACCACAAUGUUAAAAAUAUCCUAUCAAUAUGAAUGAUCGGUCUACAAAUGCUGUUUUGAAAGUGGAUUCAGUUUUUAUUAUAAAAUAUAGUGGCCGGUUUAGAUUUUUUUUAUUAAUAAUAAAAGUAUAUGGUUGCUUUGUUUAAAAAAAGAUAACCAAGCUUAUUUUUUUAUAGAUCAUAUUCAUAUAUUAUUCAAUAAUGUAAUUGUUUUUGUUUCUUUUAUCUUGUGCAAUGGGUAUUGUAACAAUUUAUGUCAUUAACAUAAAUAACAGAGGAACGAUUGAAAAAUAUAUUACAUGUAAAUAUUUUUCUUUUCAGUGUGGUUAUUAUCAAAUGUAGUUGUAGGCUUAAAUGUUAAUUAUAUAACAUGAUGUAUGAUAGAUGAAAAACUGCAAAUAAAAGUUUAACAUUGAGAGAUUCAUUGUAAAUAAUCCAAGACUUUUGGGGUAGAAAAGUCUAAAUCACCGAUACACAUCAUAAGAAACCGAAAAACAUAGAUAAUAAAGAGAAAAUUCAGGUUGAAAAAGACAAAAAAUACACUUGCAUUAUAAUUUCCGGUUUAAUAAUUUAAAUGAAGUGGAUUUUUUUUUUUAUAAAUUACACUUAAUAUAGGUUAUGCAGUCAAAGAUUUAAUUCAUACAAAUAAUUCGAUUAACAAAUAGGUAUCACCUAAACUUAAAAUACAAGUAUAAUUGUAAGGAAAUUAAUAUCUAAUUUAAUAUUUAAUUGAACGGAAUUUGUUGUAAAUAUCACAUCAUGUAAGAUUUUAACUAAUGUUCAUGUUUUAAAGAAAAAGAUAUAACUUGAAAUAAUAAAUUAAAUUACUGCAUGUAAACUUUAAAAUUGUUGUGUUUGAAAAUAUUAUAUUAAACUAUUGGUAAUAUGAUAAAUGUUAAAAUUAUAUGCCACUAAUCACGUAAAUCAAAUAUUUAUAUGUAUAAAAAUGAAAAUAAUCACCCGCACGGUUGUGCGGAUCAAGAUCUAGUUAACUAUUAAUGAAAACUAGAUUUUGACCCGCGCAACCGCGCGGGUGUUUGUUUUUACUUUUUUUAUACAUAAAUUAUUAUUUUUAAACAUUAGUGGUAUAUUUUUUAAACAUUAAUCAUAUACUUAAAUGUUUAUAUAACUAUUUCAAAUAUAAUAAUUUUAUAAUUUACAUGUUAUAAUUAAUCAUUUGGUUAAAACCGUAUGUAUUUUCAAUUCUUAUUAUAUAUUUAUCUUAUUGUAUUUGCAUUUAGUUAUUAAGCAAAUUAAUAUAUUCAUGAGAAAACAUAUUUGAAAAGUAUUUUGUAUUUAAUUUAUGCUAAAUUCUGACUCGUAUUUCAAAGCUGUAUUUCUUUUUACUAAUAUUUUUUAUGCUUAUUCAUUUUAGAUAAUAUAUUAUUGUAUAUACAAAAGUCUAAGAUAUGUUAAUUUUUAGACAUGUAUUAUAAGGUUUGUUAAUUUUAAGCCGUUCUAUCAUCAUAUUAUAUUUUUAAAAUAAAUAAUUUAUAUUUAUGAAAAUAAAAUUUAUAAAUUUAUCAAUUGAAUAUACUUUUAUCAUAUUUAUUUAAGUAUAAUAAUUGUAUUUUAACAUGAUCAUGACUAUAAAGUGGGUAAAAUAGGAUAUAAUUUAUUUAUUUUUUAUUUUGUAAACGAUAACUUAAAAUAUAUUAAAUUAUUGUUAAAAUACUUUUACACAGAUUUAUUAGAAUUUUUAAAUAUAAUAUAUAAAUAUAUAUUAUAUUUAAAAUGAAAAUAUAUUAUGAUUAAAGUAGUUACAGCGAUUUUAUAUUAUAAGCUUUAAAGAAAUACAUGUUAAUUUUUAUACAUGUAUUAUAUAUUUUGCUUAACCCAUCUUACCAACGUAUUAGAUUUUAUUUUUGAACAUAAAUAUUUUAUACUUAUGAAAAUAAAAUUUAUAAAUUUAAUACAAUUUUAUUGUACUUAGCUCAAUAUAAUAAUUUUUUUUUAAUAUGAUUGAUUAUGAUUAUAUAAUAUAUAAAAUAUUACAGAAUUUUUAUUUUUUAUUUUAUAAACGAUUACUGGAUUUAUUAAUAUAUAAUAAUAUUUCAAACUAAUUUCGAAAUUAAUGAAAAAUAUUUAAAUAUAAUUUCGAAAAUGAAGAUCUUGUAAAAAUCUUUUAAAACAGAGUUGUUAGAUUUUUAAAAUAAAUAAUUUUAUAUUCAAAAUAAAAAGAUAUCAAAAGAUAUUAUGAUUAAAGUAUUUUAAAGAUUCUAUGUAUUAUUAGUCUUAAUAAAAUGCAUUUAAUAAAAUUUUUAAGUGAUGGUCCAAAUUAAAAAAAAAAUCACACAUGAAAGAAGUCAUGACUUCUCUUUUAAUAUAUAAGAUUGAUAAAUUAGGGUGGGGCACAGGCCACACCUCCUCUUGCUUUGGGUCCGCCCCUAUGACUAUAGUGCUAUAUGAUAUUUCAUAAGUUCACGAAAUUCACAACAAUCUCCAUACCGAUUGGGUAAGAAUGUUGCAAACAACUCGACGUGUUUCACGUUUAAGAUAUGUCCUAUCUUUGCAAAUGAAGUGAAGUGAACAAGUUGUCUUCUCCUAACUAACUAAAGCAUUAUAAUUAAUAAUAUUUUAAACGUGACAAGUGACAACAAAACCAAACAUAUAUAUCUAAAAAAACAUUUAAAUCCCACUAAAACAUUAUAAUUACAAUUUUAAUUUUUUUUGUCAACUUCAUAUUUCAUUAAAUCUAAAGAGUAUAAUUUUUAUAACUCUAUACGAUUACAAAUAUGAUACAUGUGUAGGUCGGUGAGCUAUGUAUCAUCCACGUGGCAUAAAUGGGAUAAGCAGAUCUAGAUCUUUCGGUUUGCUGUCGGGAAAGAUGCCGAUCACUUCCGAUGAUAUAGUUUCAUGUUACCAUCUUCAGUUUUCGAUUCACCUUGAUAUUGUACUCCUUAUAUUUAAACUUUCGCAUAAAACCGUUUCUAGAAAAAAAAAACCCCGUCUCUACAAGCCUGAAACCCACACAAUUGCCAGUGAUUUAAAAGCAGGGAAACUCUAAUUGAAUCAAGGAGACCCUUUAUUGGACCAAUUUCAUAGAAGAUGUCAAUUCUUCUAAAUCUCUUUUCACUCGAUCGAACGUUUCCAACAUCACCAUCGUCCUUUCCAUCUGAGAUGCUCCACUAUUGUUGACUUGUAAAGUACUCUUAAUAAUUAAGAGAUAAAGAACCUCAUAGAAAAGGGAUCUGUGCACAACCAACAGAGAAUAUGAGGUUCAAGCCCAAGCAUUGACGGGAUAUAUUUUAGCCUAGCAAAAGAGAAAACAAAAGUCGCCAGCGCGAACAAUUAAUCCGCUAAUCGGAAAAAAAAUAAAGUCGCCUAGCGAAGAUAUUAUCGAUCUAUAGAUCGAAGAAAGGUAGAUUUAAUAUAAUAGAAGAUGCUAAAACAAAAGAAAAAUGGAUGGUUACCGGUGGCGAAUUGCUCACCGGCCACCAGAAACUAUUUCAGUUUUUGCGUAGCCUAGAGAAAAGUUACAAUUUUUAUACUAUGACACCAACCAGGAGUUGGUCUAGUGGAUAAAAUGCUUGAAUUACCUAAUAGAAAUUUAAGAGGCCAUGAAUUAGUUGAAGUAAAUCUUUUCUCCUUGAAAGAAUUAAUUUAAAAUGGUUACGCCUCACAUUCAAAGGCUAGGAACCACAAUCAAGCUAAAAAAGUUAAUGGUAUUUAUUGGAUUUCUUUUGGCUAAAAAAGUUAUGGAAAAUUGUUAUUCACAAAAAACAAUCCAUUUACAAUCAAGUUUUAAUGUGUUUUCUUAAUGUGUGAAAAAUCUAAAAUAUGUAUUUUUUUAAACGGAGGGAAUAAUUAAUAAGAAUAAAAAAUAGGGGUUUUUACCAAAACUAACUCACAACUUGAUUUUAACCCCAAACCUAUACCAAAACUUGAAUCAAAUGCAAAAUUAACCUAAAAGCCUAGUAAAAUUACAGUUCAGCCCCUUGUGACCAAACAAAAAAACAGAAGCCAUUUUUACGAAUAUAGCCCUAGUAAAUCGUCUGAGUCGUCUGAGAUGUUGGAAGUCGUCUGGACGACUGAAGUGUAAGUCGUCUGGUACCGGUUUAUUUUAAAAAUAAUUUAUAAAUCUUGUAAAAAAAUAUUUUGAUGCGUGAAAAAUAAAAAUCAAAUAAUUAUAAACAGUUUUAAGUGAUAUAAAUUAAGAUAUGAUAAAAUUGAUUUGUUUUGAAGAUAGAUGAGUGGAAGUAGUGAAUCAUGAAAUACUUUGGUUUAGGAGUUUGGCAAACAUAUGUUGUAGUAUUGUAUGUAUUGUUAGGGUUAGAUUUUGGAAAACUAAAAUGUUUUUUGAAAUUCUAAUACCUAAUAUAAUAAAUUUAACACAUAAAAAUAUUAUAAAAUUAUAUAAACUAUAAUAUAUAUAAUUUAUAUAUAAUUCUUUAAAUAUAUGUAUAUAUAUGUAUCUAAUGGAUCAAAUUAGAUAUACGUUCUUAAAAAUAUUAAUAUUUUUUAUUUGCUUUGUUUCUUACAGAUAUUACAUUUUGAUAUUUGAUUUGCUUCAUAGUACGAUAUUUGAAUUUUUCAGUUCAAAUCAAAACGGAUAACGAAUCGAAUCAAAAAUUUACUAAUAUUGUGCCCAGUCUAUCAGUAAAUAAUAAAAAUAAUAUAUGUAUAACUGGACUUUCGAUUCAUUAUCCGUUUUGAUUUGGAUCGGAAAUCUGGAUAAUGUGAGUUUUAUUGGAACCUUACAUUUGAGUUUUAUAUUUAAAAACAAAACGUAAAGUACAUAGUGUGAACACAUUCAUACAAUCAACCUAGUAAUGAUAUAUCGCUACGAAAACAUGUUGUAAUGCUUCAAGAUUAAAAUAAAGGGGAUAUAAUCAAAUUUACAGAAAAACCAGAUUUGUGUAAAUGAUAAAAACGUACUUAUUAUUAACAGAGUUCAGCCAACUUUUCUAUAUCUACGAAACUAUUUCAAAUAUUUUACUAUAAACCCAUAAAAUUUAGCCAAUUACAUUUUGGUCAAAAAAAACCAAUUACAUUAAAAUUUAUAGUUAAUUCUGGAAAAUCUGAGCACAUAUCCUGAAAUAUAAUUCAUCCAAUACUCAAUAUUCUAAGUGUUACGUAUAUUAGAUAUUAUGUUGGAAAAAUGACGAAAGUGUGAAGACGGAUCAAACAUAAAAAACAUGUGUCAAAUAUGAAGAUGGGCUAGUUGAAAAGCAAAAAAUCCCAUAAACUAUAGAGAGAAAAUCAAAAUGUAUUGUGUCAUUUGAACCACCUUCAUCUCAAGGAGGUCCCAAAAAUCCCAAAAUGUAUGGUGUCAUAUGAAGAUGGUCCGCCUCAGUCUGCUUGAACGACUUCUUCCUCUUGUCUUUCUUUUCUUUUUUAUUGGUUUACUUACAGACAUUUGUUUUCCCUUUCAUCUGUUUAUUUGUUUUUUUCCUUUAUUUUUAUUGGAUUUUCUAGAAACAAAAGAUAUCAAAACUUAAAAAAUAUAUAAAAAAUAAAAAAUUGUAUAUUCUAAAGUUUAAAUUUCGUAACAUGGAUAAUUUCUCAGUUACCUUUGAUUUUUCCAUUUAAACUACUGUGCAUGUUCCAUAUAUUCCAUAUAGUAUAGUUUUGACAUCUAAAAAAUUAUAUCAUGAAUAUUAUACUAUUUUAUUUUUCUGAUUAAUUAUGUUAGAGUAUUUUAUUUACAUUUUGUGUGUUGUGAUGUGACUGUAGAAUCAAUAUUAUAUUUUUCUAAUUUUGAGCACAAAAUAUAAAAACUCCAAUAAUUUUAUUCAAUCCAUAAAUUUAUUAGUGUCUCAAAUUCAAGUUUUUUUCAAUAAAAUAGAAUAUAAUUUUUUGUCUUAGGUAAAUUAUAUAACUAUUUUAGUUUAUAAAUAUAUAGCAUGUUGUUAUACUAUAAAAAUAAUAAUAAAAUGAAAUUUAUUUAAUCAGUUAAUUCUAUUUUAUCGAAUCCACUUAAGCAACUCCAACUAUAACACCAAAUUUAGUCUUGUAAAAAAACCAAAUUUGGUAUUUUAAUAUUUAAUUAAUUUGUUUCAUUUCUAAUCACAAAACUAAAUUUCACCAAAAAUAAUAUUAUACAGUAUUUUUAUUUUCAUAAUUAUCUUUGUUUUAUCAAAUUUGUUUAAACACAACCUUUUUAAACUCACUUUUUAUAAUUAUAUUUUUUCAUUGGUGUAAAUAUUAAUGAAAACUGAUAUAUUUUUCAUUUUUAUUAGAUAUAUGAAAGUAUAGUGAACAAAAAAAAAGAUAUAUGAAAGUAGAUGUUUGUUUGGUAUUUGAAUUAUAAGAGUAUUAGUUCUUCUGAAUUUGUUAAAAAAAGUUAUAAAAUAAUUCCAUAAAAAGAUACAAAUAUGAUUCUUUUCCCCAUAUAUUUGUCAAAAACUCACAAAUUAAAAUUAUUAAACACUAUCAUUUUUAUUUUAGACAUGUCAUUAUUUUAUCAUCUAAAAAUCUCUACUAUUAUAAACAUACACACAUAUAUAUAUCUACUCUAUUAAAAUAGAGUCCUAUUUGAAAUUACCAUGGCAUAUUUUUAAUUUGGGCUUAUUAAACAAUGUUGUGACUUAAUAUUAAAAUAUGUUUCAUAUACAAAUUUAUAUGGUAACCAACAUACUUAAACUAAACCAAUCUUCAUGUAAACCACCAUUUAAAAAUUCGGUUUAAGUUUUGGAACUGUUCAAAUUGUGUUUCAUUAAUAUAAAAUAUACUCUAUUAAUUUGGUUAGUCAAUAUUUAGUUAUAUGAACAAUCAUAAUCGUUCCCAAAAUUUACCAAAACUUCCAAAGCUACGUAUUACAUCAUCAACACCACAAUGUUUAUUAAAUCUAGAUAAACAAAAAGGCAAUUCGUUCAACUAGAACUCUGGCAAUAACAAUUGUCUUGGAGUCGAUAACAUAUAUCUCUUCAAGGUUUAACAAAAAUUCAGAGUCAUUUAAUCCUGAAUUCUGAUCCUGCUUUAUCAAGAAAAUUUGCAUAUGAAUGACCAAGAUGAAUAACUUUUGUCUUUGAGUCAAUAACAAAGAUCUCUUCAAGGUCUCACAAAUUCAGGGUUGUUUAAUCCUCUGUUCUAAUAAUGCUUUGUCAAGAAAACCUGCAUAUGAAUGAACAAGACGAAGAUGAAAACAAUAUUCUCAAAUAUCAUUUUAAAAAUGUUUUACAUCGACAAUUAAUUUGUAUAUUUAUGUAUAUAAUAUAUAAAAUAUUACAGAAUUUUUAUUUUUUAUUUUAUAAACGAUUACUGGAUUUAUUAAUAUAUAAUAAUAUUUCAAACUAAUUUCGAAAUUAAUGAAAAAUAUUUAAAUAUAAUUUCGAAAAUGAAGAUCUUGUAAAAAUCUUUUAAAACAGAGUUGUUAGAUUUUUAAAAUAAAUAAUUUUAUAUUCAAAAUAAAAAGAUAUCAAAAGAUAUUAUGAUUAAAGUAUUUUAAAGAUUCUAUGUAUUAUUAGUCUUAAUAAAAUGCAUUUAAUAAAAUUUUUAAGUGAUGGUCCAAAUUAAAAAAAAAAUCACACAUGAAAGAAGUCAUGACUUCUCUUUUAAUAUAUAAGAUUGAUAAAUUAGGGUGGGGCACAGGCCACACCUCCUCUUGCUUUGGGUCCGCCCCUAUGACUAUAGUGCUAUAUGAUAUUUCAUAAGUUCACGAAAUUCACAACAAUCUCCAUACCGAUUGGGUAAGAAUGUUGCAAACAACUCGACGUGUUUCACGUUUAAGAUAUGUCCUAUCUUUGCAAAUGAAGUGAAGUGAACAAGUUGUCUUCUCCUAACUAACUAAAGCAUUAUAAUUAAUAAUAUUUUAAACGUGACAAGUGACAACAAAACCAAACAUAUAUAUCUAAAAAAACAUUUAAAUCCCACUAAAACAUUAUAAUUACAAUUUUAAUUUUUUUUGUCAACUUCAUAUUUCAUUAAAUCUAAAGAGUAUAAUUUUUAUAACUCUAUACGAUUACAAAUAUGAUACAUGUGUAGGUCGGUGAGCUAUGUAUCAUCCACGUGGCAUAAAUGGGAUAAGCAGAUCUAGAUCUUUCGGUUUGCUGUCGGGAAAGAUGCCGAUCACUUCCGAUGAUAUAGUUUCAUGUUACCAUCUUCAGUUUUCGAUUCACCUUGAUAUUGUACUCCUUAUAUUUAAACUUUCGCAUAAAACCGUUUCUAGAAAAAAAAAACCCCGUCUCUACAAGCCUGAAACCCACACAAUUGCCAGUGAUUUAAAAGCAGGGAAACUCUAAUUGAAUCAAGGAGACCCUUUAUUGGACCAAUUUCAUAGAAGAUGUCAAUUCUUCUAAAUCUCUUUUCACUCGAUCGAACGUUUCCAACAUCACCAUCGUCCUUUCCAUCUGAGAUGCUCCACUAUUGUUGACUUGUAAAGUACUCUUAAUAAUUAAGAGAUAAAGAACCUCAUAGAAAAGGGAUCUGUGCACAACCAACAGAGAAUAUGAGGUUCAAGCCCAAGCAUUGACGGGAUAUAUUUUAGCCUAGCAAAAGAGAAAACAAAAGUCGCCAGCGCGAACAAUUAAUCCGCUAAUCGGAAAAAAAAUAAAGUCGCCUAGCGAAGAUAUUAUCGAUCUAUAGAUCGAAGAAAGGUAGAUUUAAUAUAAUAGAAGAUGCUAAAACAAAAGAAAAAUGGAUGGUUACCGGUGGCGAAUUGCUCACCGGCCACCAGAAACUAUUUCAGUUUUUGCGUAGCCUAGAGAAAAGUUACAAUUUUUAUACUAUGACACCAACCAGGAGUUGGUCUAGUGGAUAAAAUGCUUGAAUUACCUAAUAGAAAUUUAAGAGGCCAUGAAUUAGUUGAAGUAAAUCUUUUCUCCUUGAAAGAAUUAAUUUAAAAUGGUUACGCCUCACAUUCAAAGGCUAGGAACCACAAUCAAGCUAAUACAAGUAGCAAAAAGAAAAGCGAAAGUGUAGGACAGUUGUUAAUGGUGAAGAGAAUUAGAUAUUUUAGUUGUAGUGAAUAUUUAGUUAAAAAAAGUGUUCACGUCAAUGUCCACAUAUAUGUAUAUAUAAAGUAUAUAAAAGUGGUUAGUAAAAAUUUUAAAAAUAAAUGAAAUUGUAAAAAUCAUAUAAAAUAGUAAUAUUUCAUUACAAAAAUAAUUUAUUAUUUAGAAUUUGAAAUUCUAAUACCUAAUAUAAUAAAUUUAACACAUAAAAAUAUUAUAAAAUUAUAUAAACUAUAAUAUAUAUAAUUUAUAUAUAAUUCUUUAAAUAUAUGUAUAUAUAUGUAUCUAAUGGAUCAAAUUAGAUAUACGUUCUUAAAAAUAUUAAUAUUUUUUAUUUGCUUUGUUUCUUACAGAUAUUACAUUUUGAUAUUUGAUUUGCUUCAUAGUACGAUAUUUGAAUUUUUCAGUUCAAAUCAAAACGGAUAACGAAUCGAAUCAAAAAUUUACUAAUAUUGUGCCCAGUCUAUCAGUAAAUAAUAAAAAUAAUAUAUGUAUAACUGGACUUUCGAUUCAUUAUCCGUUUUGAUUUGGAUCGGAAAUCUGGAUAAUGUGAGUUUUAUUGGAACCUUACAUUUGAGUUUUAUAUUUAAAAACAAAACGUAAAGUACAUAGUGUGAACACAUUCAUACAAUCAACCUAGUAAUGAUAUAUCGCUACGAAAACAUGUUGUAAUGCUUCAAGAUUAAAAUAAAGGGGAUAUAAUCAAAUUUACAGAAAAACCAGAUUUGUGUAAAUGAUAAAAACGUACUUAUUAUUAACAGAGUUCAGCCAACUUUUCUAUAUCUACGAAACUAUUUCAAAUAUUUUACUAUAAACCCAUAAAAUUUAGCCAAUUACAUUUUGGUCAAAAAAAACCAAUUACAUUAAAAUUUAUAGUUAAUUCUGGAAAAUCUGAGCACAUAUCCUGAAAUAUAAUUCAUCCAAUACUCAAUAUUCUAAGUGUUACGUAUAUUAGAUAUUAUGUUGGAAAAAUGACGAAAGUGUGAAGACGGAUCAAACAUAAAAAACAUGUGUCAAAUAUGAAGAUGGGCUAGUUGAAAAGCAAAAAAUCCCAUAAACUAUAGAGAGAAAAUCAAAAUGUAUUGUGUCAUUUGAACCACCUUCAUCUCAAGGAGGUCCCAAAAAUCCCAAAAUGUAUGGUGUCAUAUGAAGAUGGUCCGCCUCAGUCUGCUUGAACGACUUCUUCCUCUUGUCUUUCUUUUCUUUUUUAUUGGUUUACUUACAGACAUUUGUUUUCCCUUUCAUCUGUUUAUUUGUUUUUUUCCUUUAUUUUUAUUGGAUUUUCUAGAAACAAAAGAUAUCAAAACUUAAAAAAUAUAUAAAAAAUAAAAAAUUGUAUAUUCUAAAGUUUAAAUUUCGUAACAUGGAUAAUUUCUCAGUUACCUUUGAUUUUUCCAUUUAAACUACUGUGCAUGUUCCAUAUAUUCCAUAUAGUAUAGUUUUGACAUCUAAAAAAUUAUAUCAUGAAUAUUAUACUAUUUUAUUUUUCUGAUUAAUUAUGUUAGAGUAUUUUAUUUACAUUUUGUGUGUUGUGAUGUGACUGUAGAAUCAAUAUUAUAUUUUUCUAAUUUUGAGCACAAAAUAUAAAAACUCCAAUAAUUUUAUUCAAUCCAUAAAUUUAUUAGUGUCUCAAAUUCAAGUUUUUUUCAAUAAAAUAGAAUAUAAUUUUUUGUCUUAGGUAAAUUAUAUAACUAUUUUAGUUUAUAAAUAUAUAGCAUGUUGUUAUACUAUAAAAAUAAUAAUAAAAUGAAAUUUAUUUAAUCAGUUAAUUCUAUUUUAUCGAAUCCACUUAAGCAACUCCAACUAUAACACCAAAUUUAGUCUUGUAAAAAAACCAAAUUUGGUAUUUUAAUAUUUAAUUAAUUUGUUUCAUUUCUAAUCACAAAACUAAAUUUCACCAAAAAUAAUAUUAUACAGUAUUUUUAUUUUCAUAAUUAUCUUUGUUUUAUCAAAUUUGUUUAAACACAACCUUUUUAAACUCACUUUUUAUAAUUAUAUUUUUUCAUUGGUGUAAAUAUUAAUGAAAACUGAUAUAUUUUUCAUUUUUAUUAGAUAUAUGAAAGUAUAGUGAACAAAAAAAAAGAUAUAUGAAAGUAGAUGUUUGUUUGGUAUUUGAAUUAUAAGAGUAUUAGUUCUUCUGAAUUUGUUAAAAAAAGUUAUAAAAUAAUUCCAUAAAAAGAUACAAAUAUGAUUCUUUUCCCCAUAUAUUUGUCAAAAACUCACAAAUUAAAAUUAUUAAACACUAUCAUUUUUAUUUUAGACAUGUCAUUAUUUUAUCAUCUAAAAAUCUCUACUAUUAUAAACAUACACACAUAUAUAUAUCUACUCUAUUAAAAUAGAGUCCUAUUUGAAAUUACCAUGGCAUAUUUUUAAUUUGGGCUUAUUAAACAAUGUUGUGACUUAAUAUUAAAAUAUGUUUCAUAUACAAAUUUAUAUGGUAACCAACAUACUUAAACUAAACCAAUCUUCAUGUAAACCACCAUUUAAAAAUUCGGUUUAAGUUUUGGAACUGUUCAAAUUGUGUUUCAUUAAUAUAAAAUAUACUCUAUUAAUUUGGUUAGUCAAUAUUUAGUUAUAUGAACAAUCAUAAUCGUUCCCAAAAUUUACCAAAACUUCCAAAGCUACGUAUUACAUCAUCAACACCACAAUGUUUAUUAAAUCUAGAUAAACAAAAAGGCAAUUCGUUCAACUAGAACUCUGGCAAUAACAAUUGUCUUGGAGUCGAUAACAUAUAUCUCUUCAAGGUUUAACAAAAAUUCAGAGUCAUUUAAUCCUGAAUUCUGAUCCUGCUUUAUCAAGAAAAUUUGCAUAUGAAUGACCAAGAUGAAUAACUUUUGUCUUUGAGUCAAUAACAAAGAUCUCUUCAAGGUCUCACAAAUUCAGGGUUGUUUAAUCCUCUGUUCUAAUAAUGCUUUGUCAAGAAAACCUGCAUAUGAAUGAACAAGACGAAGAUGAAAACAAUAUUCUCAAAUAUCAUUUUAAAAAUGUUUUACAUCGACAAUUAAUUUGUAUAUUUAUGUAUACAAUUAAAAGAUUUUAUGUUGCAUCAUAAUAGUGGAAAAUUAUAUGUUUCAUACAGUAACCAUCAUUUUAUAUUAAUGAGUUAGUCUAACAACAUUUUAAAAAUACAUAAAAUAUGUGAAAACGUUUUAGUAUCUAUGCAUAUUGUAUAAACUUACUACAUUGAUGGAAAGAAGAUACAGAACAAUUGACACUUUCUUAUCUGUUAAAUGGUUGCUACAAAAACCUCCCUAAAUUUCUGGUACGAUUCUAGAUAUCUUAACAAUUAAUUUAAACUCAAUAUUUUCUGAACAAUCAUUAAUAUCAUUAAUAUAUUGACAAAAUAUCUUAGAUUUUACCUAGAUUACGUAGUAAAAUAAAUUACACUAUUAAAAAUACUUUUGAUGAAACUUUUCAUUAGCACAAACGAACCAUAAACAACGUAAAAAUGAAUCUUUUUUUCAAUUGGCUCCUUUUAAACUUAUCACCUUGCUAAAAGGUGUAAAGCACAAACGAAAACGUAAAAAAUGAAUCAUUUUUCAAUGGCUCCUUUAAAACAUAUCACCCUUGCUAAAAGGUUGUAAAUUUGAAAUUAAAAUUAUUUAAUAUCAUAUAUAUAUAUAUAUAUAUAUCAUAGUUAUUAUAAAUAGUGAUCUAAAAUAGAAAAUAUUAUCAUCUAUACCAGACACACAAAUUUCAAAAAAAUCUUAAAUCUUACAAAUAUAUAUUUAAUUAUAAAAAAUACAUCAAAUAAAAAGGUAAAAUUUACAAAACGGGUUGGAAAUUUGGUAAAGUUAUGUAUUAGAUAUAUAUUUACUACAAAUAAAAACAAAUACAAAUGAAUAGUAUAAAAUAAGAUAGUAUCAAUAGAAUUUUCAAAUUUUUAUGAUUCUAAGAAACUAAACGUGUUAUGAUUUAAAACAAUUAUCAUGUAUCAUGUUUAUCAUAAAGAAGGUAAAAAAAAUAAACCAUCACUAUAAUAAAACUUAAAGACAAAUAAUAUUUUUACUAAAAAUAUAUUUACAAAAUAAUUUCGCCCUUGAAAAGGGCGGGUAAAUAUCUAGUAACUAAAUUAAAACUUGCAUGAGGCCUCUAACGGGCUGGCACGGCACUGUUUAGAAGCAACCCUGCAAUAAUAAAAUUUAAAUUAUGUUUUCUCAAGUAUAUACUAAUAUAGUGGACCGCGAAUAUAUAAACCGUCGGCAGCUAUUCUCUCAAGAAAAUAGAAGAUAUACUAGGCAAUUUAAACAAGUAUCUCGUGUUUUCUUAGUCAUUUUAAUUUUUGGGUAAUGUAUUUACUGUUUUCUCUGGUCUAUAUAUUUGCUUCCUAAAAAUCAAUUGAUCAUUCGUUACAUCUCUGUAUUUUAGUGCUCUUUCUUGUUCUUCCCACCACUGCCUUUUUUCUCUCAUUUUUGAAUUACAUGGAAGCAAAAAGAAAAGUUGAUCAUGAAAUUGGUUUUGAUUUCACAAAAUUGCCACCAUCUAAAUGGGGUGAUCACUUCCUCACUGUGACCGUCACUGACUCGGUGCGUCCAAAUAUUAGUAUAAUAUAAACUAAUAUAGAUCAUGCAUCUGGGCAUAAUUAAUUCGUUGUACGUUACAUGCUAGUCUAACGAUCUUUGAGUUGUAUUAACUAUUAGGAUAUUGAUGCUCUUGCAAAUGAAAUUGAGGUACUAAAGCUUAAAGUGAGGGACAUGCUAAUUUGGUAUUCGGGAGAUGAUGGCGAGGCGACCAAGAGAAAAAUUCUUAUAAUCCAUUUUCUAGUCAGUCUUGGUCUGGCAUAUCAUUUCGAGAAUGAGAUUGAACACAUAGUGAAAAUUGCUUUCGAGAAGAUAGCGGAUUUGAUCGCUGAUGAGAAUGACUUGUACACGAUUUCUAUCAUGUUUCGCGUUUUCAGAACAUAUGGUCACAACAUGUCAUCGGGUAAGAAACUUGAACAUGUCAUAUAAUUGAAUGUUUUGUGUUGAAUGUUUAUCAUUUGAUAUUAGCAGCGUUAAUGAAAAUAUACAUAUAUCUAUCAAGAAGUAUGCAUGUUUUAUUUUCAUAGGAAACUUAACUAGAAAUAAUUAUUUUAAUAAUUUUAUCUUUACCUACAAUUUUCAAAAGGUUAAAAACACCAACUGAAAUAUCAAACUAUCUUGCUUAAAUCCAGAAGUAUAAAGAGAUGGUAUUCAUUACCUUGCACUGUAAGUUAUGUUGGUUGCCUAUUUUUGUUUUGGACGGUGAAACAAUCAAAUUGAUAUGUUCGAUAAGCAACUUGUAGUUUGAUAAUUCUAUAAAAAGCGGAAAAGUUUCUAAUGUUUUUGUUUGUAGAACAUAAUCGCUUUUUUUUAUUAUAUGACGUUUUAAAGAAUUUUUUUCACUGUAAAUUAGAUAAAAUUUUCAAUGCAAAUUUAUUAAUUUUUAUGCUAUAUAAAAUUUUAUAUUCUUUGGUUAACUUUUCUAUUGGUUGAAUUAUGAUUAGGUGGAUAGUUUAUGAUGUUUUUGGUUAGAAAAAAUACAAAAUUAAUUUUUUUCCUUAAUUUGUGUAAACAAAUCUAAAUGUCAUAGUAAGAAAAAAUGGAAAUAGUGUCAUUUAGGUGAUAAUAUAUAUUAGUACAUCUAUAUUUGUAAAUACAUUUGUGUCACAGACUACAAUUUUUCUCUUUUAUAUAGAUUACAAUUUAUUUUAUCUGUCAAAUUAUUUUUUUCAACUUAGAUUUAACGUUUGAACAUUGCUCCAGAGAGAGCUUGACGAGGUUUUAGCAUAUGUGUGUACACUCUAGAUAUUAUUUGUGCUGAUAAUUGGUUAGUUUUAACAAUAAUUUAGAUUAGAAAGACAUGGUAUUCAUUACUUUUUUUCUAAUCAUCAAAAUAUUUAAUAAAAUAUAUUUUCAUAUAAUUUUAAUAUCAUUUUUAAUAUUUCUUUGCAAGUAUAUAUAGUUUUUGCAAACUAUAAUAAAAUGAGAUAAAGAAUUUUAAGAUUUAGUAAUUUUGUUGUUAGUUUAAUUUUUUAAAAAUUAGAAUAUUCUUAGAAAUUUGAAGAUAUUUUUGUUAUAAAUAUUAUAUAAUUAUAAAUUUUGUGAUUUACAAAUAUAGUAUUGGUAAAAUCAAUAAAUUUAAAAACCAGGGUUUGAAAUAUGUCUGGUCUGAUAGAUUUAAAGUUUAAUAACCGUUCGUUGUAAAAAAAAAUACAAUCCAUAAGUGUAACAACACGGUUGUUUUCAAGUAGAUGUGUUCAAAAGAUUCAAAGAAGAUGAUGAGAAGUUCAAGAGAUAUCUAAUAAAUGAUUUCAAAGGGAUGCUAAGCUUUUAUGAAGCACUACACCUCGGAACAACAACGGAUUAUAUCUUGGAUGAAGCAUUGAGCUUUACACUGAGCCACUUGGAGACAAUAGCUACAGGUCAUUUAGCAAGUCCAGGACACAUUUCAAGGCUUAUACAAAAAUCACUUCACAUACCUCAACACAUGAACAUUGAAGCACUAGUUGCAAGGGAGUAUAUUUCAUUUUAUGAACAAGAAGAGAACCACGAUGAAACGUUGCUCAAGUUAGCAAAGCUCAAUUUCAAGUUCUUACAGCUUCAUUACUUCCAAGAACUAAAAACAAUCACCAUGUAUGUGAAUAUUCAACUAUUUUUAGCAAGCUUUCUUUGUGAUUUCAUAUUUUAACAUGUUGUACACAUUUUUCAGGUGGUGGAGGGGACUAGAUCAUACAUCAAAAUUACCACCUAAUUUCAGAGAAAGAACCGUUGAGACUUGGUUAGCGGCAUUGAUGAUGUACUUUGAGCCGCAGUUUUCACUUGGGAGAAUUAUGUCGGCUAAGUUUUACUUAGCAAUCACAUUUCUAGAUGAUGCUUGCGAUACAUAUGCUUCUAUUGACGAAGUUAGGAAUCUGGUUGAUUGUAUAGAAAGGUACAUUAAUUUUAUAUAUCCUGAAAAUUUAUAAUGUUGCAUUAUAUUAAUCAACAAGCUAGGCAGAUAGCUAGUAAUGAGUUAACUGUUGCAUUCUUCUAUCAAUAGAUGGGACCCUGAUUACAUGGGAGAACUUCAAGGUCACAUGAAGACGGCCUUCAAAUUUGUGAUGUGUGUUUAUAAAGAGUAUGAAGAUAUAUUGAGGUCACAAGGAAGAUUAUUUGUCUUGGAGGAAAUGAUAGAAGAGGUUUGUGCUUUCAAAAGCUUAAAUAAUUAAUAUGUUCACAUAAACUGCUGGCUGGUAACAUUAUGUAUUGUUGAUAUUAGUUCAAGAUACUUGUGAGGACAAACCUCCAACUUGUCAAAUGGGCACGAGAAGAUUGCAUGCCUAGCUUUGAUGAGUAUAUAGAAGCUGGUGGAGCUGAGAUUGGUUCGUAUGCGACCAUAGCUUGCUCUAUUAUGGGACUUGGAGAGAUUAGUAAGAAGAUAGAUUUUGAGUGGCUAAGAUCUAGACCAAAGGUCGUCCAAGUUCUAGCCGCAAAGACCCGUCUCAUGGAUGACAUAACCGACUAUGAGGUAUUAAUUAUCAAGACCCACAUUAUAUAUAUAUAUAUAUAUAUAUAUAUAUAUAUAUCAUUUUAGUUUGUCAGUUACUGAAAUAAUUUCAAAACUAUUAACUCGCAAAUAUGUUUUUAGGGUGAUUUGGAAAAAUAUGGUUCAGCUUGACAAAUUAAGAAUUGAUUUGGUUUAAAUUCACGGUUUACUGAAUUGUGUGUGAAAAAAAAAUCUACUUGAACAUACAAAACAUUUAAUUCCCUUUUGAAAGCUUCCUUGGAUUUAAUUAAGUUUUGCUAAUAUAUCCAGCUCAUAUUUCAUGGAUUAGAUUGUGGUUUAUAUGAUCAGGAGGAUAUUGGUAAAGGUUACACUGCAAACGCACUCAACUAUUACAUAAAACAACAUGGAGUUACCAAAGAAGAAGCUAUAAAAGUGUUUGAUAAAAUGAUUAAAUAUAUCAACAAAAUCGUUAACGAGGAGUGCUUGAAGACAACCCACAUCUCUCGUCGGGUUCUUAACCAAAUCAUCAAUUACGGACGUUCAUUAGACGUUCUAUAUACAUCUGACGAUGUCUUCAACCACCGUGAAGGCAUGCUCAAGGAGUAUAUCACCACUUUGCUCGUUGAUCCAAUACAUCUUUAGAGUUUAGACUGUGGAAGUCAAAGCAUAACCUUCUUUGGGUUUCGAAUACAAUGUUUUAGUGAAUUUAUGUUUUAUAAGGCAAAUGUAUUUUGUUAUGAAGACUUCACACUCAAAUAAAAACAUCUUGGACAAUCUCCAUCAGGUUUAGAGUUGUUGAGACCACAAUGGCAAACUGUUUGACUUUAAACCAUAAUCAAACACACAAACUCCGACACAUUCUCUGACACAUUCGUUGAUGACACAUUCGUUGACGUAAGUUAGAAAGUAUAAGUUUGUAGAAUAAUAGAGAAUAGAAGAAGAACGCGGAAAAUAUAGAGAUGGACACAAGAAAUUGUUUACCUAGAGUUCAUCUAGAUACUGCUACAUCUCUUGGGCCUAGCAAAGAGGCAAUCCACUAUAAUCUUAAGAACAAAGAUAUAGAACCUCUCUCUCACAACGAAACUUACAAACCGAACCAAACUGGAACUUUUCUUGGACAAGGGAGAAAGAGAGCACACGAGCUCCCCUUAUAUAUGAGGAGUUUAUUACAUUUAACCUAGUGGGAUUAACGCAUUGGCCCGUUUCAAUAAAUCUAUUAGGAAACUUUCCAAAAUACUUCCAACUUCCAUAAACCAUGAAAGUAAUAUUUCCAGGAUCCUAUCAACUUCCAUAACUUCAUAAAAGUGAUAUUUUUCUUUCCAAAUAUGACGACUUUGUCUUGAUUUAAGUUAUGCGAUAUUGUUUGAUUUUCAUAACCAAAUCCUGACGAAGUCCCUGACGGAUUCCUCGACGUAUAUUCCCUGAUGAAUUCCAACAAACUCUACCUUGAUAACAUCAAACAUGAUUCACUACUUAGGUUAAGCAAACUCGUGCUUUGUUAGGGGAUGUCGAAUGCUCCUCAAUGUUAGGACAUCCCAAGGAAGUUCACCGCUUCUCAAACUUCUUAACCAGAACAACCUUGGUUAAUAUAUCAGCAGGAUUCUUAGAAGUACAUAUCUUCUUCACACUUACAUCACCUCGAAAAAUAAUAUCCCUGAUGAAGUGCAUCUUUUUGCUGAUGUGUUUAAUCCUCUCAUGAUACACAUUGUUAUUUGCUAGACACAAUGCACUUUGAGGGUCACACUGUAACACCCCCGAACCGUUUUAGAUAUCGGUCAGUCAGCCAGGCAACAAUCAAACAAGAACAUGCCCGAACGACCUUCCUCUACCAAGUCCGAAAGUGUUACGGCGGGUUGAGAAUAGACUUUCCAAGUCACAAACAUAAUUCUGUAACCCAGAAUAUCCAUUCAAAACUCGUUUCCUCUAAUCUUCGGCCUAAGGCUUUGCAACCCAUACCAAAUCAUAGAGUUGUGUUAGGUUGGACUAACCUAAUAUCAGAUUCAACACGUCACAUAUAUAUAUAUAAAUAUAUAUAUAUAUACUCCUAGAGUCCAACAGAAUCAUUCUUCCUCCACAUAAGGGACACCGGCUAUCCCUUCACUAUUACACCACACAGGCGUAGACGCUUGGGAGUCGCCCGGUCACGGUCCUUUCCGCGAGUGCUACGGUCUUUUCUACUGGUCACCUGCAAAAGGAUGCGAAGAGUGAGUGAACUAGUUUUACUCAGUGAGACAGGGUUCCCUAUCUAGCAUAUACAACUACCCGUCAUUCUUAACCCAACCCAAAACACAAGUAAGACGGAUUGUUCAACAAUCAAUAAAGCAUGACCGAUUUAAGCAAUAAAUUUUUCGGACCACGACCGGCUUAGUGGUACCAUUUGAGGAAGCAAUGACCUGCAAACUACUACUAGAACCACCACGAGGUUCUCACAUAACAGUACCAACACGAGGUACACACUAUAACAACAUAUAAUAAUCACACAUUCACAAUAAUUCGAGUGCUUAGACUAGUCUUGCUAUCCACUUUGCCAGACAUCGUCUCAAGCCACGGAUCCACAAACUGACACCUAGACCGGUCCGGCUAUCCUAGCUCGGAAGACGUCUCUGAUGUCAGGAACCUUCAUUAAAAAUUCAUUAAUUAACCGUGACUCACAGUGAUUAAGCGAUGUGGCUCAACUCUUUGAUUCCGGAUGUUGACCAAACCCUUUUUCUCCCCUCCAAAUCUUCGUCUUGGUACUGUGAUGUUAAAUCCCAAAACCCAACGUCAAUGUCUUGAAUGGACUGGUCUUGGCUGAUCAGAACUCGGAAAGAACAUUCCUUCACUUCUGGACAGUGUUUCGAAACUUCCCAACAGUUUAUCAGUCUUCAAAAAUGUCUAUACUUCUAAAGCACCUCACUUCUUUUUCUUUCUCCCUAUAGCCACGUUUUUCUUUGGUUUAUAUGGAAUGAGAUCAGUAAAAAUGGUGAAGGGUGGCUGGGUAUAUAUAGAAAUUGCCAGCUAAUAAGAAUGAGCCACCCGAUCGCCUGUGUGUUGUCCUGCAUGCUUCUGGUCGCAUGUGUGGCGACACAUGGGCGUCCACAUGCCCUGUUGCAUUUCUCCUUUACAUGCCAGGGGACACCACCACGUCCACAUAUCUCUCAGCAUGUCUGGGGUUCAUGCGUCGCGACACACGGGCCUCUGCAUGUCGGUUCGCAUGCAAAGAUCACAGGUACUGCGACACCUCAUGCUUCUGUGUGUCGAGCUGCAUGGAACUGCUUCAUGCACGUCUACACCUCCUUCUUGUGUUGACACUCAGCAGGUAAAAUGGUUGACACCACGUCCUGAUCCCUUAGAUCAAGCCACCUAGAGCUUUUCGGUCGAUUUACGCGAUUUCGGUCCUUCUGGUGAAUUUGCGUCCCGCGUUCAAUCUCGGAUAUUUUUCCGCUACCAUUCUGAUGAGCUGAAUAUUUUUUAUAGACUCCAGACUAACCUUAACCUUGAGGAUACAAAUUUACCAAGCCUUCGGCUUCCCCGAGAAAUUCGAUAAAACCGAAAUUAGGGUUUUUUUUUUUAAGAUGGAGUAUUACUCACACGAUAUCUCCACCGUGUCUUGCUUGAAUCCAAGCUCUUCUGCUAAUCCCCUUAACCACAUUUCUUCUUUGACUGCUUCAUCCAGCAUUAUAUACUUCCCUUCGGUCAUUGACAGAGCCACUACACUUUGUAAACUUGAUGUUCGGCUGAUUGUAUUCCCACCAGUCAUGAAAACAUAACCUGAGAUAGACCUUCUCUUGUCCAGAUCUGAAGCUAAAUCAGAAUCACAGAAACUUUCAACCAUAAACACCUCAUUUUUCCUGAAGUACAGUUUCAGAUUUUGUGUUCCCUUCAGGUAUCUCAAUACCCACUUAACCGCAGUCCAGUGAACCAUCCCAUGCUUGCUCAUAUACCAGCUAACCAACCCAAAUGCAUAUGACAGAUCACCCCACGUACCUAUCAUAGCAUACAUUGUGCUUCCGAUAGCAUUAGCGUAUGUAAUAUCAUCCAUACAUGUCUCUACUUCAUCAUCAUCUACGGCAGACAAUUUGCGUUGACACACACUGACUCAUCCAUGUCGAAUACCCUGAGAAUAUUCUUGAUAUAACCAGAUUGAGAUAGUGUCAGAAUCUUCUUUCCAUGAUCUCUCUCAAUAUUCGUUCCCGAAAUUCGCCUUGCGGGAUCUAAGUCAUUCAUCUCAAAUCUGCCGCUAAGUACCUGCUUUACCUUCAUGAUUUCUACUGCAUCCCUUGACGCAACCAACUUAUCAUCCACAUAUAACAAUAGAUAGAUGUAUGUACCCUUGGUUACCUUAUUGAUAUAAACACAGUGAUCAUAUUCACUCUUCACAAAUCCAUGACUAACCACAAACUAACCAAAACACUUGUUCCAUUGUCUUGGUGCCUACUUUCGUCCAUGUAAAUCUCUUCUUGUCCACAAUAUCUUCUCCUUUAACCUGAAACCGUUCUGGUUGCUCCAUGUAAAUCUCUUCUUCAAGUGUACCAUGAAGAAACAUAGUCUUUACAUCAAGUUGCUUAAGCUCCAAAUCCAGAUACACUGAAAUUGACAACAAGAACCUUAUGGAUAUAUGUUUUACGACGGGUGAUAUACUAUGGAUUUUACCCAUUUUUAGCCAUGAUAUAUAAGUGUUUUAGGAACUAUCUAUGUUGUUUUCAAGGAUUUUUAGCACUUUUACAAGUUCAUGGGUGAUUUGGAGAAAAUGAUGAUUUCGGUGUAUUUUGGAGAUAAAAUGAGAAAAAGCUCGAAGCUGACCAUCAAACCCGUUCGAGGUCGACAUUCGGAUAGGGAAGCGUGCAAAGCUUAGCCGGCUUAAAAUCUAAGUCAAGACAUAUUUACGUAAAUGCCCUGGCGACUUUUAACCUAAUAUUUAUGUGUUCUGCCAUUGUACUAGGCAAUACACACUUUCUUUACUUUCUAGUUUUUACACAGCAAACUAUUCCUAAGUUUUUUAGUAGAUUUGGAGAGAAGAUCCAAGACUCCUUUAGAGAUUUGUAUUGCAACUUCAGUAUUUCUAACUUUAAUCUAUUUAUGAAUCUUUUAUUGAUUACUGUUAUGAAUUGUUUUGCUAUGUCUGAGUAGUUCUCCUUGUUAGGUUUAGGUUCAAAUAGGAUUAUGAAGGAUUAGCCCCAAAUAUAGAAUUGGUGAGUUGUUUGUGAUAUUCAUCAGUUGAAUUGCUCUUAUUGCUUGUGUUCUAGAGUAGCUAACUAGAACCCUGAAUUUUGGAUAAUCGGGCGCAAACAGAAUUUGAUCUAGGAAACCUAGUGAACAUAGUUCAAACCCGCUCGAUAAAGCUUGCUGGAAGGUAAAUCGAUCGACAACGCUCCUUUUCAUGAUUUAGCAACAACAUCUCGUGGGAAAAAUUUAGUAAAAGGAUUCACUAGGUUGUCAGCCGAUUUGAUGUAGUCUAUUGUGAUUAAACCAGAUGAGAUAAGUUGUCUAAUAGUUUUAUGUCGUCUUUUGAUGUGAUGAGAUUUACCAUUGUAUGCGUAUAGCUGGCAUAUGUUUCUCCCACAUAGAAAUAUCUUCCAAAGAAAUUUCUAAGCCAUUCAGCUUCUUCUGCUGCUUUUUCUAAGGCUAUGAACUCAGAAUCUAUGGGGGAUCUGGCUAACACUGUUUGUUUGAUAGAUUUUCAUGAUAAUUUUUCUCCUCCUAGUGUAAAGACAUAUCCACUUGUAGAUUUUGAGUUUUUAGAAUCGGAUAUCCAGUUAGCGUUAUUGUAUUCUUCUAAACUGUUGGUUCUUUACUCUAGUGAGGCCCAAAAUCUUUGGGUACUCUCGUUAUAGCUUUCCAGUGUUUGUGACAAGGAUUACUUGGAUAUCAACUCAGUAUGUUUACUGUGUGCGCUAGAUCUGGUCUAGUAGAAUUGGUUAAGUACAUGAGACUAUUCGAUCAAACGUGCAUACUCGUUUUGUGACACUGAUUCACCUGAAUUCUUUGUUAAGUGAAGUAAAGGAUCUAACGGAGUUUUUUGCCGUACCAUUAGAGUAAUUUUUAAAUCUCUCUAAUAUUGUUUGAGCAUAAUGAAAUUGGGUUAAGAUAAUUCCGCUUGAAUUUCUUGUGACUUUACAUCUGCUAAUCUCAAGUCUUUCAUCUCAAAUUUUCCUUUGAACAUGUUCUUUGUUUGAUUGAUAAUAUCUUUAUUACUUCCAAUAAUGAUCAUAUCAUCUACAUAUAGACACAACAAAACAUACAUAUUUUUGGUAGUUUUGUAGUAUAUGCAUUUGUCACAUUCAUUAAUUUUGAAACCAUUUGACAUCAUUGUAUUGUCAAAUUUUUUGUGCCAUUGUUACGAACUUGUUUAAGCCUAUAAAGUGACUUUACAAGUUGGCAUACUCUGUCAUCAUAUACAAGAAUGACAAAACCCUCAGAGAUUGUUUCAUGUAAAUUUCCUCUUAUAAAUCAUCAUUUAGAAAGAAAAAAAAACAGUUUUUACAUUUAUUUGAUGGAUUUCGAAGUCUCUUAAAGAUGUGAUUGCUAUCAUCAGUCUUAUUGAUUAUCAAAUAUAUUUUUUUAUGAAUUAUCAUCGAUUGUUAUUUCUUAUCAUAAAUUUUCUUAUUUUUUCAAAAAUUCUUUUUCUAAAUAUAAAAUAUACAUGUUUUCUAAACUUUAAAAAAUAUAUAUAAUUAUUUGGUAUUAUAAUAGCUCUUUAAUUUUUUUAAUAAUGAUUUUUUCAUACUGUGUUGUUUUACUUGUUUUUAUUUUAAGUUUUCCAUGAUCUUUUUCACAUGAAAUUAAUUGUCUCAAGUUAUUCGUCUACUAUUUUGUGAUUUGUUUUUAAUUUUUGGUUUACUAUCCUUUUCUUAACAGUUACAAAGUAAGUGUGUGUGUUGUAUAAAUGUAUUUUAUACAUAUAUUUAAUAAUCUUAUCAACGUAUAUAGUAUUUCUAAAUUUGAAUUUUAUGAAGUAAAAUUAUUGAUAAUCUAUGUCCUUAUAGCUAGAUAAUUUAAUAGAAUUAUAAAAUCAAUGAAAACUAAACUUUUGACUAACAAAGAAUUUAACAUAGAAUUAAAAAUUUAUUAAACCAUAACAAAUAAUUUUACUAAUAUUUUAAAAAUCCAUAAAACUAUCAAUGAAAUCUCAAUUUUUUUUUUAAAAAAAUAUCUUUUAAAAUUCAUCUACCAAUCUGAAAGUGUAUAUACGCUAACAAAUAGGCACUACAAAUUCAAACAGAGAGCAUUACAUUUUGACAUACUUUGGGUUGUGUUUUUUACACUUUGACAUACUUUAAACUUGUAGAGUACGUUGAGUAUAGAAGUUGUCUUCAGUCUAACCAAAAUAACCUUAAUGAAAUUCUGGAUACGAAGUCGACGUAGUUGUGUAUAUGAAAUCAAUGAAAUUGUGGAUGUGAACAUGGUUGAGGGAUGGUGAAAGGUUUUUUAGUUGUGGUGAAGAGUAGUAUGAUUAUGAAUAUGGGAGGGCAUGUCGCGGUGGAUAGGAGAUUUGAAAAAGAAAGAUAUGGAUGGAGGCAUGUGGUCAUGGAUAGCGGAUGAGAGAUGAUUAAGGUUUUAGUGGAUGUGGUCAAUAGUGGUGUAGACAGGUGAUGGGUGAAGGUUUUGUUGGUUAAGACUACUCGAUUUUGGGAUUCUGAACCACCAUAAAACACUCCAUGAUCCAUGACCGCUGAGCAUCAUCACCAUAUGACCCUCCAUGCCUCCAUGAUUGCUAACCACUUCUUUAACCACCACAACUUUCAUAUCCACAUUCACAAGCUCCACUUCCUUUAUUAGCUCCUCCACCAUCACCUCCUCCAUUCACUCCGACUUCUGAUCCACCUCCACGGCUCUACCUCCCGAUCUUCCUCCUCCAUUCAUCCCGACUUCUGAUCCACCUCCACGGCUCCACCUCCAGCUCUUCCUCCUUCACCACCACCAUAAGACCUUACCUCUACUGGCCCCACAGCAUGGCCACUAUAACAAUUAGGUGCUCCACCGUAACCACGUUUCCACCUUAUCCUCUCCACUAACAUCCCCACUUCCACCUUAUUCUUUUCUACUAGCGACCCUUAUCAGAUUGUAUGAAACAUCGGCGUGAAAACUGUAAUCGCUAUAGAGUAGAUGUGGCGGAUUAGGGUUUUAAGGAUCAAUGAAAAAAGAGAUUUUAGGCUAUAAAAUUUUUUUGGGAAAUUUACAAGCACAAAGUAUCUCACAUGCUGAAAGUAUGAGUGGAUGUAAAUCCCCUAUACAUUAUUUGAAAAGUAAUUUUGUCACAUGUCAUUUCUACAAUCAUUUUUACAAAAAUAAUAUGACAUAGCUACUAAAAUUAAUGACAUGGCUUAUAGCUUAAUAUAACAUGGACAAUUAUAUUUAAUGUUAAUUUAUAUUUUUGUUAAUUUUUUUAAAAUAUAGUAAUAACUCAUAUAUUACAUUUAAUGUCGAUUUAUAUAUUUGGAAAAAAAAUUAGAAUCCCUUAUAUACUAGAUCACAAGUCACUCGACCAAUUCUAUUUCACCACCUAAAUAAUUCUUUUUUUUUUCAAAAACAAAUAUUGAAAAGAAAAAAACAAUCGAAACAAACACUUUAUUUCUUCCCUCACUUCAGAAAAAAAAAAAAAAAGCAAACUUAUUGUAUCAGCAUCAACCAUUACGUACAUGCACAACCAUGAUCGCCACCACCUCCUCCAUUACAUCAACCUUAAAUGAAUAACUUCUACAAAAAUAAAAUUACUUCAAACUGUUUACUUCAUCCACGAAGUCACAGAAAUGAUUUCAUCUCUCCCAUUCUUUUGAUUUGGAAGCGACAACAUCAUAUCUUCUUUUCUUUUUUCUUCUCUUGAUAAAGACUAUUCUUCAAUCUAAUGGUUUUUGAAGUUAGGGAAACGAUAAAAAUUGUGUACAAAAUAAUUCUGCAAAAUAUUAAGCAAAACUUACAGAUGGUUUACAAAAAUUCACAAGUAUACAUUGGUAGGUGGUGCAUACGAGUUCGUAUUAUAGUUAUUUAGCAAAUGAUUUAGCAUUAAAGUUAUGUCUCAACAUUUAGUUAUUUGAUGUUGUACAGUUUUGAAUUCUUUUUAGUUUGUUUUGUAGAAGAACCGAUGUUACCACAUCUUCACACGGCCAUGACUUUCUUCCUCUGAACAAAGCUCUCGACUAAAAACGAAAGUCAAUAAGCAGACUAAUUAAAAGUGAAAUGAAGAGGUAUGAAUGUCAGAAAAAUCAAACUUAAUUACAAGAAGAUUCUCUGCUUAGAUUGAAGAAACAAAACGAGAUAUUCUAGAUUAAAGUCGACACAACUAAAGAAGAAUGGAAGAGAAGGAAGACUCUCAACUCACAUACCGCUCACGUUUUGAUAAAUAGGUCAGAUGCAACCUUUUAACCAUUCAAAGGAGCAUUAAACAAAACUUUGCCAAUGAAUUAUUUUUCUCUCUUUAAACAUCAAUAAAUGUAAAAAAAACAUUUUAUGCUUGAAAUUUCUUAAAUAUCAAAUUUGUACAACCUUUAAGUGACUAUUUUGAACAGUAUUUUAUGUAAUAAACUAGAGGUUGGCCCGCCCUACGGGCGGGUGAUUUUACACUAAAAUAAUUUUAUAUCAAAAUAAAUUUUUAUGUUAUAAAAUAUUUGAAAUUUUAUUUUUUACUGGAUAUAAUAAAUGUAAUCUCUUUUUAUUCUAAAAUUAUAUUUUAAAUUUUAUUAGAUUUUUUUGGUUUUGAAUUAAAAAGACCACUAACAAUUCUAUUUUGUCAGAAAACACAAAAUUAUUAAAUUAAAAAUUAAGGAAAAUAUAAUUUUUUAUAUUUUUAAUACCGCAACUGCAACCGCAACCACUGCGUUUGAACCAGUCAGGCCCUUACUUAGACUCGCGAGGAGCCAAUAUUACACUCGCACUUGUUUAAGUCAUAAUAAACACUCGUUAAAAAAAAAAAAAAAUCCUCGAAGCAAUGAGCCAGCUUUACUUUAAUUAAAAUGAAUCCCGUUUAAGUCAUAAUAAAUACUAUUAAAAAAGUUACAUGGCUGAAUUAAUGCAAAACUAUAUCCUCAUUACAGGAAAGAAUCAAAAGUUGACUAUUAAGCGUUCCUUUUCAAAGAUUACAACAUUAAGACUACUAGGUGACCGGUGCGGGCAUAAGAACAUGAUCGGUCCGCACCCUGUGUUCUCGGUCCGUACUUCAGGAGAGGGAACACAGUAACGCCAGUAUGAAGAGGCAGAUAUUGUGUGUAUGUAUAAUUGCAACGUCACAAAAUAUUUGGUGUGUUUACGAAGAUACUUUCAUUCAAAAAAUGGAAUAAAUAGUGUAUAGUUUUAGAAGUAACAAAUUUUAUAUUAUCAUUGAUUAGAAUUGUAUUGUAUAUGUUUCGUAAUUCUUUAUUUUAGGUGAAUAAUAUUAUUUUUCCAUAAAUAAUAAACAAACAUUUAUGUAGACAUAUUAAAAGAAAAUAUAAUAAAAAUCAAAAUAUUAUCCAUAAAUAAUAUAAAUUAUGAAGUACAUUUCUCGAUAAAGAAAGCAAAUUCAAUUAGAAACUUGCAAAAAAUUAAAUAAAUUUUGUAAGCAAUUUGACGGGUUAACAUUAUUUGAUAGAUUUAUAAAUUUCUAAAUUUUAUUGAACAUGAAAUAAUAUUAAAUUGACAUACCGUCAUCGAAAUAGUAGAAAUACUUGAUUCGUAAGCUGUGAAGGUAUACCGCGCAUCCGCAAAAUACUCCUCCGGAACUUCACUCGGAAAUUCAUCAGUUGUUCCAACAAAAUUUGUUUGAAAGAAGCCAAUUUUGUACGGAUGCGCGGUUGUGUGAUAAUCACCAAUAGCAUCGUACAAUUUGAAUAAGUGGACAACCUUUGCAUCGCCCUCGGUUAGUUUCCCUUCAAAUUGUUUGAUGAGCUAUUCACCAACUGAAGCAUGAAUUCUUGUCCCCUACAGAAGAUGAGAUAAAGUUAUAUGAGUUGGAUUGAGAACAAAAGACUAAAGACGAUUAUGAGUUGUAAAAAAUGUAGUAAUCUACUUACUUCUUUAUCAACGAAAACCAUUUCGAUGGUGUUUCCGGAAUCUUUGUUGUAAUUUCUCCACAAGUGAAGAAUCCUAACCUCAAUACGUCAUGUAUCUUUACAUGGUUUUAAUUGCCUGAUAAAAGACACUCGNNNNNNNNNNNNNNNNNNNNNNNNNNNNNNNNNNNNNNNNNNNNNNNNNNNNNNNNNNNNNNNNNNNNNNNNNNNNNNNNNNNNNNNNNNNNNNNNNNNNNNNNNNNNNNNNNNNNNNNNNNNNNNNNNNNNNNNNNNNNNNNNNNNNNNNNNNNNNNNNNNNNNNNNNNNNNNNNNNNNNNNNNNNNNNNNNNNNNNNNNNNNNNNNNNNNNNNNNNNNNNNNNNNNNNNNNNNNNNNNNNNNNNNNNNNNNNNNNNNNNNNNNNNNNNNNNNNNNNNNNNNNNNNNNNNNNNNNNNNNNNNNNNNNNNNNNNNNNNNNNNNNNNNNNNNNNNNNNNNNNNNNNNNNNNNNNNNNNNNNNNNNNNNNNNNNNNNNNNNNNNNNNNNNNNNNNNNNNNNNNNNNNNNNNNNNNNNNNNNNNNNNNNNNNNNNNNNNNNNNNNNNNNNNNNNNNNNNNNNNNNNNNNNNNNNNNNNNNNNNNNNNNNNNNNNNNNNNNNNNNNNNNNNNNNNNNNNNNNNNNNNNNNNNNNNNNNNNNNNNNNNNNNNNNNNNNNNNNNNNNNNNNNNNNNNNNNNNNNNNNNNNNNNNNNNNNNNNNNNNNNNNNNNNNNNNNNNNNNNNNNNNNNNNNNNNNNNNNNNNNNNNNNNNNNNNNNNNNNNNNNNNNNNNNNNNNNNNNNNNNNNNNNNNNNNNNNNNNNNNNNNNNNNNNNNNNNNNNNNNNNNNNNNNNNNNNNNNNNNNNNNNNNNNNNNNNNNNNNNNNNNNNNNNNNNNNNNNNNNNNNNNNNNNNNNNNNNNNNNNNNNNNNNNNNNNNNNNNNNNNNNNNNNNNNNNNNNNNNNNNNNNNNNNNNNNNNNNNNNNNNNNNNNNNNNNNNNNNNNNNNNNNNNNNNNNNNNNNNNNNNNNNNNNNNNNNNNNNNNNNNNNNNNNNNNNNNNNNNNNNNNNNNNNNNNNNNNNNNNNNNNNNNNNNNNNNNNNNNNNNNNNNNNNNNNNNNNNNNNNNNNNNNNNNNNNNNNNNNNNNNNNNNNNNNNNNNNNNNNNNNNNNNNNNNNNNNNNNNNNNNNNNNNNNNNNNNNNNNNNNNNNNNNNNNNNNNNNNNNNNNNNNNNNNNNNNNNNNNNNNNNNNNNNNNNNNNNNNNNNNNNNNNNNNNNNNNNNNNNNNNNNNNNNNNNNNNNNNNNNNNNNNNNNNNNNNNNNNNNNNNNNNNNNNNNNNNNNNNNNNNNNNNNNNNNNNNNNNNNNNNNNNNNNNNNNNNNNNNNNNNNNNNNNNNNNNNNNNNNNNNNNNNNNNNNNNNNNNNNNNNNNNNNNNNNNNNNNNNNNNNNNNNNNNNNNNNNNNNNNNNNNNNNNNNNNNNNNNNNNNNNNNNNNNNNNNNNNNNNNNNNNNNNNNNNNNNNNNNNNNNNNNNNNNNNNNNNNNNNNNNNNNNNNNNNNNNNNNNNNNNNNNNNNNNNNNNNNNNNNNNNNNNNNNNNNNNNNNNNNNNNNNNNNNNNNNNNNNNNNNNNNNNNNNNNNNNNNNNNNNNNNNNNNNNNNNNNNNNNNNNNNNNNNNNNNNNNNNNNNNNNNNNNNNNNNNNNNNNNNNNNNNNNNNNNNNNNNNNNNNNNNNNNNNNNNNNNNNNNNNNNNNNNNNNNNNNNNNNNNNNNNNNNNNNNNNNNNNNNNNNNNNNNNNNNNNNNNNNNNNNNNNNNNNNNNNNNNNNNNNNNNNNNNNNNNNNNNNNNNNNNNNNNNNNNNNNNNNNNNNNNNNNNNNNNNNNNNNNNNNNNNNNNNNNNNNNNNNNNNNNNNNNNNNNNNNNNNNNNNNNNNNNNNNNNNNNNNNNNNNNNNNNNNNNNNNNNNNNNNNNNNNNNNNNNNNNNNNNNNNNNNNNNNNNNNNNNNNNNNNNNNNNNNNNNNNNNNNNNNNNNNNNNNNNNNNNNNNNNNNNNNNNNNNNNNNNNNNNNNNNNNNNNNNNNNNNNNNNNNNNNNNNNNNNNNNNNNNNNNNNNNNNNNNNNNNNNNNNNNNNNNNNNNNNNNNNNNNNNNNNNNNNNNNNNNNNNNNNNNNNNNNNNNNNNNNNNNNNNNNNNNNNNNNNNNNNNNNNNNNNNNNNNNNNNNNNNNNNNNNNNNNNNNNNNNNNNNNNNNNNNNNNNNNNNNNNNNNNNNNNNNNNNNNNNNNNNNNNNNNNNNNNNNNNNNNNNNNNNNNNNNNNNNNNNNNNNNNNNNNNNNNNNNNNNNNNNNNNNNNNNNNNNNNNNNNNNNNNNNNNNNNNNNNNNNNNNNNNNNNNNNNNNNNNNNNNNNNNNNNNNNNNNNNNNNNNNNNNNNNNNNNNNNNNNNNNNNNNNNNNNNNNNNNNNNNNNNNNNNNNNNNNNNNNNNNNNNNNNNNNNNNNNNNNNNNNNNNNNNNNNNNNNNNNNNNNNNNNNNNNNNNNNNNNNNNNNNNNNNNNNNNNNNNNNNNNNNNNNNNNNNNNNNNNNNNNNNNNNNNNNNNNNNNNNNNNNNNNNNNNNNNNNNNNNNNNNNNNNNNNNNNNNNNNNNNNNNNNNNNNNNNNNNNNNNNNNNNNNNNNNNNNNNNNNNNNNNNNNNNNNNNNNNNNNNNNNNNNNNNNNNNNNNNNNNNNNNNNNNNNNNNNNNNNNNNNNNNNNNNNNNNNNNNNNNNNNNNNNNNNNNNNNNNNNNNNNNNNNNNNNNNNNNNNNNNNNNNNNNNNNNNNNNNNNNNNNNNNNNNNNNNNNNNNNNNNNNNNNNNNNNNNNNNNNNNNNNNNNNNNNNNNNNNNNNNNNNNNNNNNNNNNNNNNNNNNNNNNNCCGCUACCACCCGCAAACGCAGCUUUUGCGGUUGGUAGCGGUUGUCGGCGGUUUGCAACAAUCACUCAAAUCGCUCUAAACCGCUUCAAACCGCUCCGAAUCUCAUAAAUUCAAAAGCUGGCUCCAGCUAGCGUUUGCGGUUGCAGGCGGUUGCGGGAGGGUAAAAUUUUUUUCUUUUUUUAAAAAAAAUAUAUAUACAAAAGCAAAAAUAUUUAAUAAAAAAUUUAAAAUUUAAAUUAUGAAAAUAUUAAAAUAUAUCUAUUAUAUUUUAAUUAAUAUUAUAAAAUUUAAUAAUAAAAACAAUUUCAAAAAAUUUUCAAAAAAUUAAAAUUAUAACUUUCUAAAUAUAAAUUUUAUAUUUAUUAUAAUUUUAUGAUUUUUGAUAUUUUUAUAAUUAUAUUAAAUGUAAAUAUUGUUAAUUUAUUAUUUGACUGUUACCGCAUUUGGUAGUUAACCAGUCAUAAGUCACCCGCAAACGCACCAAUUUUUAACUGCAAUACCAGUCGUACAAAUCUCUUAAAAUCGCUAGAAACCGCAACCUCCCGCAUGCACAAACUCCCGCAACCGCAACCGCAACCACUGCGUUUGAACCAGUCAGGCUCUUAAUCAUUUCAAUUCUGAAAAACCGGUAUGACAGUUUUAUGAACUAACACCUUCAUAAACUAUUUUAAAAUACCAUAUUAGUUAAAUAAUAUAAGAUUUUACAAUGUAUAGUUUUUGAUAUUAAGAUAGGAAAAUAUUUUUUUCAAUAAUUUUGAAAAUUUUAAUUUCCAAAACUUGUGAAACUCAUUAAUACCUUGAAAAUAUAAGUUAAAUAUGGCUUUUUGUUGUUUGUUGCUGGCAAGUUUGCAAAAACCUGUUGACUGACAAUUUCGUAUUUUCUAGGUGGAAAUACAGUUCAAUCUCGUGAUCGUUUAUAAAUUUUUGCGUGGCAAUUUUCAAGACGAAUUUGAUGUGUUAAUCAAAUCAUACUUGUUUAAUGUUUAUGUUCUUCGUGUUUCUUAUCCUUUUCGAGUUGGUUUGAUUUAAUAAAGUUUCGUUUUCUCUCUUUUCUCCUCUAUGUUUCAAAUCAAAUCCCAUUUGAUACUCAAGAUAUGUUACUCUAGCUGGUUAUGCUCAGUCUUUAUUCUCGAGAUGGAAUCAAUCUUUGUAGUUAUCCUGACAUAUGCAAAGUCUCCAAAUCAGUUUAAGGAAUGAGCUGUUGGUUUUAUUUUCAUGGUUUUAUAUAGAUUCAGCAGAAAUUUUAUUUUAUAGGUUAUAAAUAUUAAAAGUAAUAAAUAAAACAUUAUUAGUCUUUCAAUAAUUUCGAGAAUAGUUUCCAUAAAUUGUUAUUUGUAAUAUUCGUUAGAUUAUAUGGCAAGUGAUGUUAAACGUCAAUAAGUUAAACAAUUCUUCCAUAUUUGGAAAACAUAUAUAUAUAUAUAUAACAAUGACAAAUUAAAUGGUAGAGUAUGUAAACACAUGUUUUCUACCAGCGUGAGUUAGAACACCGCCGUAUUUAAGAAUCAUAAGGGCCUCUACAGGUCUUUAUUCUUCGCCUUCACCAUCCCACUUCAGCGGCUUUAGUUGAACCUUCAUGUAUUUCCCUGAGAAAUUUCCUCUCUGCGCCAUUCCAAAAGGUUUUCUGCUGUGUGAAAAUGACCUCAUAAAUUAAAUAAAAAAUGCAUAAUGUUAGCUUACUUAUAAGAUAGUAUAUUCAACAAAAAAAAAUGAUAUAAGAUAAUAUUACUAAAUGAUACUAUGUAAUACUUUCCCGGACAAUAUUCAACAAAGAGAGAGAGAAAGUACUAAAGAACCUCUUCAAGAACUGCUUUAACUUGGCGAAGCUUCUCAGCAUGUUCAAUCAAGGUUUUCUGGAUCACUAUCACUCUCACGACCUGGUCUACAUAUAAAAAAAGGAAGACCAUAUUGUCGUUACCAGUAUUCAACACAUGGAAAAGAUAGACCAGACAUGCUUUUUGGAGACAAGACACAAAGAGUUGAGUUCAGGGUUCUAAAGAUGAGGAGCCUUUGCGUCUAAACACAUUUUUCUUAGCACACAAGCAGCAUUGUCGUAAUACCUUAAUAGUAUGAGAGGAGAGAUUUGUGAAUAAUACUUUAAAGAAUGAAAAGAGAAUGUUUGUAUUUUAAGACCUUGGGUGUCUCCUAUAUAUAUACAGUCGAUUUAUUCUCAUAUUAAUGAUUUUAAUAUUUUGCACAAUAAAUAAUAAAAUCGUUUAAAGAAAGAUAUUAAAUGUGUAUUGUCAAAAAAUGAUUUGCAUAUGAUAUGAUUUUAACUUGCGCAAGUAAUCCAUAUUAGAAAGGUAAGUUAUUAAAAACAAACAACCUAAUUAGAAACAUUAAAAUAUUUUGUAAGCAAUAUAAUAAAUAUGAUAUCAACAUGCGCAAGUUUACCGUUUGAAUAAUAAGGAAAGUUUUUAAUAUUUGUCUUAAUUCUAAAUCUUGCCCAAGGGUAAACUAAAUCGAUAAAAUUUAAUGAUUUCAACUUGCGCAAGUAAUCCAUAUUGUGAAUAAGUGAUUUGCAUAUUUAAUGAUUUCAACUUGCGCAAGUAAUCUAUAUUAGAAAGGUAAGUUAUUAAAAACAAAUUUUGUCAAUAAGUUAUUUGCAUAUUUAAUGAUUUCAACUUGCGCAAGUAAUCCAUAUUAGAAAGGUAAGUUAUUAAAAACAAACAACCUAAUUAGUAGGGGUGGGCACUUUACCCGAUAUCCGAAGUGGCACCCGAACCCGAUCCGAAAAACCCGAACCGAAAUCCGAACCGAAGUAGCAAAAUACCCGAACGGGUAUUGAAUAAGGAGAGAUUGGAUACCCGAACCCGAAUGGAUAUCCGAAGAUAACCGAACAUAUGUAUAAUUAACCUUAUAUUUCUAGUUUACAUCUCUCAUUUUAUAUAAAAUAUUUAUAUUGAUACUAUACAUACUUUAAGUUCAUAUGAUAUACAUACAAUUACGGAAAAAAUGAUUUGCUAUUCACUUAAAAUGCAUGUAAAGUUUUUUAUUUCAAAAAUUAACAAAAAGUUACAUCCAACAUUUAAAAAAAAUAACUAAAUUAAUGUCUUUUUAGUUUUAAAAUAUUAUGGCCAAAUCUAUUAACCAUUCAAUCUAUUAAAAAUAAAAAAAUUAGUUAAGUGAAAGUUAUAUUUUUAAAUAUAAGAAACUUGAGAAAUGAAAAUUUAAUUUUUUUUUUCAAAAUCUAAAUAUCCGAACCCGAUCCGAAAUAACCGAAUCCGAACUAAAAAUACCCGAACCCGACCCGAAGUACAGAAAUACCCGAACGGGUUCUACACCUCUAUACCGAAAUACCCGAAAAUCCGAAAUACCCGACCCGAACCCGAACGGGUACCCAAGGCUAAACUAAAUCGAUAAUUAUUAUCUCCUAGCUAUAUAUGGGCUUAACGAAAUCAACAAUAGUUUUGGGCUUGUCUACAUAAGUGAUUGAUUAAAAUAAAUGAAAAAGAAAAAUUCAAAAAAUCCAGCCAAUAGAAUUAUAACAUUUUUCCUGAGAAGCUCUAUAUGAGUGCCACCUCAGCAAAAAUCACUAAAGUGACUUCUCUUUUAAUGUAUAGGGGGAUUAAGCUGACUUGAAUCGUUUCUCUACUCUCAGAGUUGCUAUUUGCUAAUCUGGGGAAGUCGUCGUUUAGUAGCUGGAUUCUUUUCGCAAAUGAAAAAACAGAAAGAAACAAAACCAAGAUUAAAAAAAUAAUAGUAAUAGAUAAGAAAGACAAAAUAAAGUUCUCCUUUAUUAUCAGUACAGUCAAUGAGCGUUCUUUCCGCCAUAGAAAUUCUCUGAGGAAAAACCCAAUAGAGAUCCAACUUAUUACCAUGGAGACUCCUAUGGCUUCUCUUCAUUGUCUGUAUCCUCUGAUCUUCUUCUUCUGCAAAAUCUAUUUUAUAAACUUGUAUUUAUCAUAUGCUAUCAUCUUCAUAGUAAGACAUCGGUUAUCUUUGUUCUAUAUUCUUAAUGACAAUGAUUUAAUCCAAUUGAGUUCUGUAACGGUACCGGCUUUACAUCAGUGGUCAGAAGAGCAGCCGGCGAUUCGAAACAGACAGUUGCAUCCAACAGAGAUUUGCCGGGAUUAAUCAUCUCCCCGUCAUAACUUUCGUCUCCAUCACGGAUUCAAUAAGCAUCCUCUGGAACAGAAUGCCAUUUGUGAAUCAUAUCCACAGUUUCCGGAAUCUAUAUACUGGUCCACGCUGAAGCUACCUCCUCCUACGCCGGAAAUUUCUCAGAGAAAUCUGUUGCCGUAAAAUCCGACCAUUUAGAACGAUGAUCGAUUCAACGAUCAUGUUAUCGACUGGAUAUCCAAACCAUUUUCUUAGAUAUUGCCAUACCACCACAGCUUAAGUGACCGUCGCGAACACUCUUGAUUCUUCAUAGAGAGUGACCUUGGGGAUUUUGUUGCGAUAGGACUGAUCAUUGCAAGAGACGAACACAUUUACAGUCGAAGCUUGAGGAGGUUAUCUUGGCAGAUGCUAAUGCCUAUUUAAUUCCAGAGAGUGGGAGGAGUGGUAUAGAAUACGUAAUGAUGGUGAUAAAGACGCUAACUGAAGACGUUACAGAGAGAUGAAGGUCAGAGAUGGUGAAAUCUGAAAAGACACAGCGAUUCGCUCUGCAAAUCUGCCAGCAAAAGUGAUGCAAAUCCUAACUAAAGUUGGGCCUCCUAUGAAAAACAAUAAAAGCCCAUUUCAUUAAUCAUAUUAUUAAUUGUUAGCCCAAAUUAAAAUACACUUUGCGAGAAAGCUUAUUCGUAUGAUUAACAAAGGAAGACACGUGUCAAAGAAUGCCCCAUGCUGAAUAAUGACGUGGAGUGCUGAGGUGAGAGAAAACUCUAUUUUAUUAUUAUAGAUUAUAGAUAUCAUAGGCUGAACAUAUAAGACCAACUCCAACGAGGGAAUGGUAAGAGGUCCUUAACUUUUUUUUAAAAAUGAAAAAUCAACAAAACAAAGAGAGAGAAACACACAAAAAUCCUAAUCUUACAACUUUUUAGAACCUUUACCAACCUCCAAAGUACAUGUGUUAAUCAGACAUUGUUUCAAACGAUUGUAAAAAGCAAAAAUAAUUAUAAUAUUAAUUACAAUGCUGUCCUAAGCAUGUCUGGAUAGGCUUGAGGCCAUUUUGAAUUUGGUAAAAUAAAAUAAGUAAUCAGCUAAAUAUGUUUACUUUUUUUUGUCGACAAGUAAAUAUAUUCACAUAUAAAAAUUAUUAGCAUACUAUCUCAAAUUUUGGUCAAACAAGUAUAAUAUCUAAAUUAUGCAAUAUUUAUUUUACUAUAUUUCACUAAUAAAUAUAGUAAAAUGUCAUGUAUCAUCAAUUACGUUUUUUUAUAAUUAUUCAGAUUUCUCUGUAUGUAAAAUUAAUAUAUUUUCUGGUCACAACACUUUUAAGUUGAACUAAAAAGAAGAGGCUUUGUUAUUUAUGAAGAACAAAAAUAACAUUUUCAAAUUUAUUUAAAACAAUGAAAGAAUACCCGUGCUUAGCACGGGAGAAACAUACUAGUACGGUAAUAACUCAUCAAUCAUCAUUAAAAUAAAUAUAUAAAAAUAUGGCAUUACAAACUUUGAAAUAUCAUUUAAUUAUAUAUUUUGAAUUAUACAAUUUUACUACUAAAAUUUUCAAAAAUGUAUAUAUAUUUUUUUGAAAAUUACAAAAAUUUAAUCGUAAAAUCAUUAGUUUCUUAUAUAUCUAUAAAUUUUAUAAAUAUUGUUUAGUUUUAAUUUUUGAUAAUUAUGCAGGUUUUUACAAAUAUAUUUAAUUAAAAUAAAUAUAUAUAAAAAUCUAUCUAAGCUUAUAAUUUUAAAUAUAUACAUGCAUAUUCUUAAAUAUAAUUUAAAAUAAACAAAAUAAUUUUUAUCUUAAUUUUUAUGUUUAAUUAAAUCAAAUUUAUAUUAAAAUGCAGACAACAUACUUUCAUGGCUGAAAUGUUUGCGAAUUUCGAUUGUGAUAUUUUAAAUAUAAUUUAUAUUUAUCUGUUAAAAUUUUUUUAAAUUUUUUUCUCCACAUGGUGCAGGAAAACACCUAGUAUGUGAGUAAAAAGCUUGUCAUGUAAUAUUUUCAUGGAAAAUUGUCACAAAUGACACAUUUAUAGUACUACUUUUCAUAUUUAUACUAAUCACUUUUACCAUCAAUUUUAAUGAAGGAUAAAAGAUACUUAUACCCUUAGGGUUAACUAAUAUAGACUUAGGUUUAGAGUCGAGGUGUGGGGUAGGAUUUCUGGAAUGUGAAAAUUAAGAUUAUAAUAAAUAUAUAAAUAAGUACUUAAAAAAUAUUUAAAAAAAUUUCAAAAAUAGUUUCAAACAUAAUUUUCGAUUUUCAAAAAGAAAUUUUGAAAAAAAAUCAAAAAAAUAAUUAUAAAAAUGUUCGAAUUUGAAAAAGUAUAAUUCGAAAACAUUAUUUUUUUAAUUCUUUUAUUUAUUUAAAUAAUGAUUUAUUAUAUAUAUAUAACAAAUGUAUAAAAACCUUUUGUCACUUAACUAAGAAUGUAAUUUUAAAAAUGUCUUUUUAGUAGUGGUAAAAACUAUAAGUGGUAUAAAGAAAGCUGUAAACCUAAAAUCGCCCUAUUUUCAUACAGAUGAGACAGAUAUUUGACAUAAAGUUUAUGGGCCUCAGAAACUAGAUCUCGUAACAAAGUGUGGCCCAACUCUCGGCCCAUCUCAAAGCUUCCGCUUUCACAACCUUCUCUUCGAUCAUCUCUCAGAGGACACGUCCGAUGCUUCUCCGAUCUCCAGAAUCGUCCCACUCGACAUAGCCAUUUGCAAGCAGAUCCACCGUCGCCGCGUUUCUGGCGAAUAAGGAGUAACAAGGAUCUGAUCUCAAUUGAGUUUUCGUGGCUAAGCUCCCACUCUACCGCAUCGGCUCGAUCCUUCACCAUACACUGAGAGCUUCUACACAUACGCCAUUGAACCCAAAGAAACACUUCAAAGAGUAGAAUCUGGAUCUCUUUCUCCGAUCCCGAUCUCUCCAGUACAUUUGGUCUCGUUAGAUAGGUAGGCUGAGUCUCUCGAUCCUCUUCCUCCUUCCCUUUAAGUUUCAAACUGUUCUACGUAUUAGCUCUUAAGUUUUAAUAGGUAGUUUUGCUGACUUGCGAUUCAAUGAGAUCUGAAUUGUAUGGUUUUGAAUUUGCAGCUCUACAUGCUUCGUGUGUGUAUUGGUGUUUGAGGACGAGUUAUGGGGUAUCAGAAUCACCAUCCAUCGGGAAGCAGCAACUCGUUCCAUGGAGGAGAGUUCAACAAACCGUCCAAAGUUGCUGUGGCGUCUAUGAUCAACUCCGAGAUCGGCGCAGUUUUGGCUGUGAUGAGGAGGAACGUGCGUUGGGGUGUCCGCUACAUUGCGGAUGAUGAUCAGUUGGAGCAUUCCCUUAUCCAUUCUUUGAAAGAAUUGCGUAAGCAGAUAUUCUCAUGGCAGAGCAAUUGGCAAAACGUUGACCCCAAGCUGUACAUACAGCCGUUUCUGGAUGUUAUACUCUCUGAUGAAACCGGGGCUCCCAUCACCGGCGUUGCUUUGUCCUCUGUCUACAAGAUCUUGACCCUUGAUGUUUUCACGCUUGACACCGUGAAUGUGGGAGAGGCGAUGCAUAUCAUAGUGGAUGCUGUGAAAAGCUGCCGUUUUGAGGUGACUGAUCCUGCCUCCGAGGAAGUGGUUUUGAUGAAGAUACUUCAGGUUCUUCUGGCUUGUAUAAAGUGUAAGGCGGCUAGUGGGUUGAGUAAUCAGGAUAUUUGCACCAUCGUCAACACUUGUUUGCGUGUUGUUCAUCAGUCUAGCUCCAAAAGUGAGUUGUUGCAGCGUAUAGCACGCCACACGAUGCAUGAGUUGGUUAGAUGCAUCUUCUCUCAGCUUCCUUGUAUCGGCCCGCUGGCUAAUGAAAGCGAAUUACCCGUCGGCGAUAAGGUGAUUCAAUUUGACCUUCCUUGCUAGAAUUUUUAUAUGUUUGUUCUAUAGAUAGAAUAUUUAACAUGUUUCAGUGACGCCAAAAGUCAUAUCGUAUUAUGAUUUAUCUGCUAUGCGUAUUGAUUGAUUGAAGAUGCCUCAUGACUAAGUUUAAUGGUGAAUUGGGUUGACCAUCUGUUUGUUUUCCACAAAUUUCUCACGGUAUUCUUUCUUGUCUAGGUGGGAACAGUGGAUUGGGAUCAGAAUUCUGGAGAAAACACAGUUGAAAAUGGAAGUAUUGAUACUCUCGGCGUUGAGAAAGAUUCUCCAAGUUCUGAGAUGGUUAUUCCAGAAACAGUAGUCAAAAAAGAUGAAAAGGGAGCUGAGGUCAGUGAUGACUUAAAUGUUGCUGCGAAUGGUGAAAAUGCAAUGUUGGCGCCUUUUGGUAUUCCAUGCAUGGUAGAGAUUUUUCAUUUCCUGUGUACUCUGUUGAAUAUUGGAGAAAACAGUGAAGUCAAUUCCAGAUCUAACCCUAUAGCAUUUGAUGAAGACGUUCCUCUUUUCGCUCUGGGUUUAAUUAAUUCUGCUAUAGAACUUGGAGGCUCUUCUUUCCGUGAGCACCCAAAAUUGUUGAGUUUGAUUCAGGAUGAGUUAUUCUGUAACUUGAUGCAGUUUGGUAUGUCGAUGAGCCCUCUGAUUCUUUCUACAGUUUGCAGCAUCGUUCUUAAUCUCUACCUGACUCUCCGUACUGAACUUAAGGUACAGCUUGAAGCUUUCUUCUCAUGCGUACUUCUGAGGAUUGCACAGAGCAAGCAUGGCUCUUCUUACCAGCAACAGGAGGUUGCUAUGGAAGCUCUGGUUGAUUUUUGCAGACAGCAUACUUUCAUGGCUGAAAUGUUUGCGAAUUUCGAUUGUGAUAUAACAUGCAGUAAUGUGUUCGAAGAUGUUUCAAAUUUGCUAUCAAAGAGUGCCUUCCCAGUUAACGGGCCUUUAUCUGCUAUGCACAUAAUUGCAUUGGAUGGGUUAAUCUCCAUGGUUCAGGGAAUGGCUGAAAGGGUUGGUGAGGAAUUGCCGGGUUCAAAUGUUUCGACACAUGAAGAAGGAUACGAAGCAUUUUGGACAGUGAGAUGUGAGAACUACGGAGAUCCUAAUUUAUGGGUUCCCUUUGUCCGAAAGUCAAAGCACAUCAAGAAAAAGCUGAUGGUUGGUGCUGAUCAUUUUAACAGUGAUCCUAAAAAAGGUCUGCAGCAACUCCAAGCGAUGCACUUGUUACCUGAAGAACUUGAUCCAAAGAGUGUGGCAUGUUUCUUCAGGUAUACAUGUGGGAUAGAUAAGAACCUUAUAGGAGAUUUCUUGGGAAAUCAUGACCAGUUCUGUGUUCAGGUUCUUCAUGAGUUUGCCAAGACGUUUGACUUCCAGAAUAUGAAUCUUGAUAACGCCCUGCGUCUCUUUGUGGGGACAUUUAGAUUGCCUGGCGAGUCGCAGAAGAUACAGAGGGUGCUUGAAGCGUUUUCUGAGAGAUACUAUGAGCAGUCACCACAGAUAUUGAUUGAUAAAGACGCUGCCCUCUUGUUAUCUUAUUCGAUUAUCUUGCUGAACACAGAUCACCACAACACUCAGGUCAAGAAAAAGAUGACUGAAGAAGAUUUCAUCCGUAACAACAGGUGCAUAAAUGGAGGCGCAGAUCUUCCCAGGGAAUACUUAUCUGAGCUUUAUCAUUCAAUCUGCGACAGUGAGAUUCAGAUGAUCCCAGAUCAAGGAACCGGUUUCCAAAUGAUGACCUCCAGUCGGUGGAUUAGUGUGAUUUACAAGUCCAAAGAAACCAGUCCCUAUAUCAUAUGUGACAGCGCAUCGUAUCUGGACCGUGACAUGUUUCAUAUCGUGUCCGGUCCCACUAUUGCUGCUACAUCUGUGGUUUUUGAGCAAGCAGAGCAAGAAGAUGUUCUGCAGAGAUGUGUUGAUGGGUUAUUGGCCAUUGCAAAACUUUCAGCGUAUUACCAUUUGAAUAGUGUAUUGGAUGAUCUGGUCGUGUCUCUCUGCAAAUUCACGCCAUUCUUCGCGUCGUUAUCUGUUGAUGAAGCUGUUCUUGCUAUAGGAGAAGAUGCCAGAGCAAGAAUGGCUACUGAAAGUGUGUUCUUGAUCGCAAACAAAUACGGCGACUAUAUCACUUCGGGAUGGAAAAACGUACUGGAAUGUGUCUUGAGCCUCCACAAACUCCAGAUUUUACCAGCUCAUAUAGCUAGUGAUGCUGCGGAUGACCCAGAGGAAGAAAGACCUUUAGCAAAUCCCUUAUCAGUAGUAUCACAGGUACAACCCUCAGAGACCCCUCGAAAAUCCUCUAGUUUUAUCGGUCGGUUUAGCCAGCUUUUGUCCUUUGACAUGGAGGAGACGAAGCCAUUAUUACCUACCGAGGAAGAACUUGCAGCCUAUAAGCACGCUCGUGGUAUAGUGAAAGAUUGUCAUAUUGAUAGCAUAUUCUCAGACAGCACGUUUCUCCAAGCCGAGUCCCUGCAACAGCUAGUAAACUCUCUCAUAAAGGCAGCCGCGAAAGAUAAAGAUAGUGCUGUCUUUUGCCUGGAGCUUUUAAUUGCAGUAACUCUAAACAACCGAGACAGAAUCCUACUGAUCUGGCAAACUGUUUACGAGCACAUCUCGGGUAUAGUUCAAUCAACGACGACACCAUGCCCGCUUGUGGAAAAGGCUGUGUUUGGUGUGUUGAAGAUUUGUCAGAGAUUAUUGCCUUACAAGGAGAAUCUAACAGAUGAGCUUCUGAAAUUACUCCAACUGGUUCUCAAACUUGAUGCAAGAGUGGCUGAUGCAUACUGUGAGCCCAUAACGCAAGAAGUAGCCCGUCUUGUAAAAGCGAAUGCAUCUCACGUCAGAUCUCAUGUUGGUUGGAGAACAAUCAUAUCUCUGAUAUCAAUCACAGCUCGACAUCCAGAAGCUUCUGAUGCUGGAUUCGAAGCUCUCCGGUUUAUAAUGUCAGAAGGAGCUCACUUGUUGCUAGCAAACUACAUUCUUUGUUCGGAUGCAGCUAGGCAGUUUGCUGAAUCCCGUGUCGGGGAAAUCGAUCGGUCUAUCUCAGCCAUCGACUUAAUGUCAAACUCUGUGUUCUGUCUUGCUAGGUGGUCUCAAGAGGCGAAAAACUCGGUGGGAGAAGAUGAAGCUAUGAGGAAACUAAGUCAAGACGUCGGAGAGAUGUGGCUCAGGCUUGUGAACAACCUCAAAAGGGUUUGUCUUGAUCAACGCGACCAAGUGAGAAACCACGCCAUCUCAAUGCUACAGAGAUCAAUAGCCGGUGCAGACGGAAUCAUGUUACCACAACCAAUAUGGUUCCAAUGCUUCGACGCCGCAAUCUUCCCGUUGCUAGACGAACUGCUCGCUGUUUCGAUCGAGAAUUCAAGAAAGACAUUCAAGAAAACAGUUGAAGAAACGCUUGUGCUCGCCACAAAGCUCAUGUCAAAGGCCUUUCUUCAAGCUCUCCAAGACAUCUCGCAGCAACCAUCGUUCUGCAGACUCUGGCUUGGUGUAUUGGACCGUAUGGAGACUUACAUGUCGACCAAGUUCAGAGGGAAACGCAGCGAGAAAGUCCAUGAACUCAUACCGGAACUGCUGAAGAACACGUUGCUGGUGAUGAAGACGACGGGUGUUUUACUACCAGGUGAUGAUAUUGGAAGUGAUAGUUUCUGGCAACUGACUUGGCUUCAUGUCAAGAAGAUAUCUCCUUCUCUGCAAUCUGAAGUGUUCCCUCAAGAGGAGCUUGAUCAGUUUCAGAGACGAAACGCUAAGCCUGAGGAUACUCCGGUGGUACCGGAAAACUAAGACUCAGAACGGUGGUGGUGGAGUAGUAAGGAUUUGUUUUUAUACAGAAAAGCAUUAUUGAGAAGUUUUUUUUAGAAACUAUAUCGAAAUAUUAUAUCUUUGCAGUAUAGCCUUUUGUUUGAAUAUAGUACUUUUGAGCUUUUGGAUUUUUAUGGAAUGUCACGUUGGAGUUAUGGCUUUGAUUGGAGAUUUGCUUGGAGGCGAUUCAGGAAAGCGUUGUCACAAGUUGCACAAAUCGGCUUUUGAGUUUACCAAUAGAACGGACAGAUAAAAUGAACAGUUGAACUGAGUGAGCUUUUCAGGGUGCCGCCAACCCAUUCAUGUAUUUUUCAUUCUGAAACAGAAUAAUGUCAAAAUAGGGUUGAGCUUUUCUAAAAAAUUAUUACUUUACCUUUAUUUCUAAAUACAAAUUAAAAUAUUCUCAUUAAAUUAGUUUUUUAAAAAAUAAUUUUAUUUUAUUCUAAUGGAAAAAUUACAAAAGUAUAAUAUUUUUAAUGAAAAUUACAGUAAUCAACUUUACUAAACAAAAACAAAGAUAGGAUAAUGUUAAAGAUAUGCAUGUCAAAUUCAAAGACAAUAAUUUUAUAUAGCUUCACAAAUUAGAGUUGUUUAUAUUAUAGUUGUAUAUUCACUUCAAUUUGGAUAUUAUCAUGUGUAAGUAGUAGGAUAAAUUUUCCACUACAAGCUACCUACCACAAUUACAAAAGCUUAAUAAUUUUCAAUUAUUUAAAAAAGCACAUAGAUUAUAGAAAAUUUGGAAUCUCCUCACAAAUAUUUUCUUGAACAUACCUCUGUCUCUCUAUCUUAAUAUAUUCUCAUAGAUCAUUUGAGUCCAAAUUUUGGAUCUUGCAAUUUAAAAAUUAAUUAUUAUUUUCUUUGUUUUUAAAAAAUUUACUGUUUCAUUUCUUAUAAGUUAUUUAUAUAAUAUCACCAUUAUAUUUCAACAUAAUAAAAACUCGUGGUUCCAUAUUUUCGCCGGAAACCAACUAGCGCAAUGGACCAACUAGGGGUGGGCGUUCGGGUAUCCGGGUUCGGAUCGGAUAUUUCGGUAUAGAGGUGUAGAACGUCAGAGUAUUUCUGUACUUCGGGUCGGGUUCGGAUAUUUUUAGUUUGGGUUCAGUUAUUGCAGAUCGGUUUCCGAUAUUUAGAUUUUGAAAAAAACAAAAUUAAAUUUUCAUUUCUCAAAUUUCUUGUAUUUAAAAAUAUAACUUUCACUUAACUAAUUUUUUAUUUUUAAUAAAUUGAAUGGUUAAUAGAUUUGGACAUAACAAUUUGAAACUAAAAAAACAUUAAUUUGGUAUUGUUUUUAAAUUUUGGAUGUAACUUUUUGUUAAUUUUUGAAAUAAAAAAUUUGACAUGCAUUUUAAGUGAGUAGCAAAACUUUUUCUCCGUAAUUUUAUGUAUGUCAUAUGAAUUUAAAAUAUGUGUAGUAUCAAUAUAAAUAUUUUAUAUAAAAUGAGAGAUGUAAACUAGAUUCAGAUUUCAGUUCGGGUUUCGGUUCAGAUUUUGGUUCGGGUUUUUCGGAUUGGAUUGGGUUCGGAUGUCACUUCAGAUAUUGAAUAAAGUGUCCACCCUUGACCAACACAACAUUGGUGGUUAAAACUCAUAGUUUACCAAAAAAAUAAUCAAAACUCGUUUAGAUGCUUUGUAUUUAGCUAAUUGUUUUAAAACUCAGUUUUUCUAACCACCAUAAACUAUUCAAACUAUUUUAACAACUUUUCUAAAAAAAGACUAUAAAAUUAUUAUUAAUUUUGUUAAAAAAUUUUAAUCUACUAGUUGAUCAAUGAUUCAUAAAAAAAUUUAAAUUUUGAUUUCAAGAUUUAUAGAAAUUAACGGAUUUAAAAAAUUAAAUAAAAAUCAUAUAAAUAGUUUCAUCUAAGUUUAAAAUAUUGAAAAAUCAGUUUAAAAAAAAAAGAAAACAUAAAAGAAAAGAAAAGAUGUAGAGAAACGACGGGUGCCUGCUGGUGUAGGAUAGAAACAGUGUAUGUGGAUGUAGCUUAUAACUACCCAAUCCCGUUGAACAUAUUUCCUCCGACCAGACCAUCCCCAGAAUAAUAAUAAUAAUAAAAUUCAACGGAGGCCGCCUUCCCUUCACCGGAUCACCUUCCUUCCUUUGGAUCUAUCUUCCCAUUCCGACGGUUCUUCGUUUCUCAGGUCUCCUCUUCCUUUCUCAUCUAUUCCCUUUUUAAAUCCUUUUUUAUUUUUUGCUUUAAUCGCUUGUUUCAUGGGCGAUCACUUUUCUCUCUUGCGAUCGGUGAAUUUUGAUUCUUCUGUCUACCCAUAAACCUCGUGUUGACAUGUGUUUCGCGAUCUAACAAUAUAUAUUAUUAGUGUUUACGGAUUGUUUUAGACAUCAAUCAUCGAUCCUCUCGCUGAGGAAAAUUGCAGUUCCUAGUCUUGCGAACUGUUGAUUUGUUCCUAAUUUGGGGGUUACUGAUCCUAGAGGAAUUGGAUUUCAUUAAUCUAUUUGAUUCAUCAUCAUCAUUAUGUGUUGCGUGCAGAGUAUCAAUAAUCAAUCUACCUUGGAACAAUGAGUGAGGUGUUUAACGGAUACGAGCGCCAAUACUGCGACCUCUCGGCCAACCUCUCCAAGAAAUGCUCCUCUGCUAUUGCCCUUGACGGAGGUAAGUAAUUCCAUAUCAUCUCUUGCUCCUCAUCCACUGCCCCUAACUUCCUUCCUCUUUUAUGAGUUACUACAAGCCUUUCUCUGCUUUCCAGGGCCGGCCCUAGGCCAUGCUAGGUGAAACAUUCGCAACAGGCCCCUAAAAUUUUUGAAAAAAAUUACAUACAAAUAAGCCCCAAAACAAAAUUUCAUACAGCAGGGUCAGACCUCCAGAAUCUCAGGUCUGGCCCUGCUGCUUCCCUUUGAAAGCUGAUGAUACCUUUACUGAUUGAAUUGCAGAACAAAAGAAGCAGAAGCUCUCUGAGAUAAGAUCUGGCCUCGAUAAUGCUGAAGCAUUGGUAUGUGUGACUCUGGAAUAUAGCAGUUUUUUCUUUAUUGUCCCUUUUAACAUUUUUUCUUAUUCACCAGAUUAGGAAAAUGGAUGUUGAGGCGAGGAGCCUUCCACCGAGCAUUAGGACCAGCCUCCUUGUUAAACUAAGAGAGUUCAAGUCCGAUCUCAACAACUUCAAAAGCGAAGUCAAGAGGAUCACAUCUGCUAACUUGAAUGCUGCUGCUCGCGACGAGCUGCUUGAAGCUGGUCUGGCUGACACAAAGACGGUAUGUAAAGAGAACUCACUAGUAUCUUUUUUGACAUCUUUUGAUUGAUCUAUGACAUUUGAGGGCAGGCUUCGGCUGAUCAAAGAGCGAGAUUGAUGAUGUCAACCGAUCGAUUGGGUCGAACCACUGACAGAAUCAAGGACAGUCGAAGAAUGAUGAUUGAGACUGAAGAGCUUGGAGUUUCUGUCCUACAAGACUUGCACAGUCAGAGACAGUCUCUCCUUCGCACUGGCGACACGGUAUGUACUCUCUUCUUCAGCACGAUUUUAUCAUGAAGAAGACUACGUUUUAUUUAUAUACUACUUGUGAUUGGUGUCUCUUUUAACCAAAAGUUAGAACUCUGAAACAUGCAGCUUAGUGGAGUAGACGAAAAUGUCGGAAAGAGCAAGAAGAUCUUGACGGGCAUGACCAGGGGGAUGAACAGGAACAAAUGGACCAUUGGAGCCAUUAUCACCGCUCUGGUCGCGGCUAUUAUCCUCAUCUUGUACUUCAAACUCACCAAGUAAUCCCUCUGUAUCUAAACUCUUUGUCGCUGAACAAAUGGUGUGUAUCUUUUAUUUAAUCCUUUUCUGGCUUUCUGUGUGAUAAGUUAUGUCUUUGCCACCUUUUGUAUUAUCACGUUCUCUUGUUUGCGUUUGCGAUUACAUUUGUGUAUUUUAAUACUGAAUGAUGCAAAUUGUUUUGUUUUAUUAUUACUAAACGCAAGCGUAAAUUACAUUUCAAACAAUUAGAGCCUAAGCCUUGAGAUUGAGAACUAGUUGUGUGUUUUUCUUUCAUUCUUGAACCUGUUAUAAUCAGCGAGCAAGCUCUCAAUAACCUUAUGUUUCAUGCUAUCCACCAAACCAGUCAAAAUCUGUAGAAACCAAAUCACAACCAAACAUUAUUUACAAAGCUGAAAUAGUGGAAAAUAUCGUUUUCGAGUUCUCAAACGCAUAUAAGAAACCGUUUCUAACCGCAUUGGCCACGCUUCUCUUAACAUCUUCGGGUACAAACGCAAGAACCGAAGGAAGGACGAAGCUUACGUUCAUCUCUAAUUGACCUUUGAGCCUUGUGUGGCUUCCGCCUCGGUCUGGGUACAAUGCUCCUUGAACUCCCAGAGUGAAAUCAGACUGUUCCAUGACCUGGCCAAGCCCUUGAAGCUCCCAUUUCAUCUGAAGGUAAACCGUUAAAAGGGAACAAAAGAGUGAGAAUCGUCAAGGGUUGUGUCUGUUUCUAUUACCAUGUUAAGCUCAAGAACUCUGGUUAUGUCUAGAGGUACAUCAGGCGGGUAAUCUUGACCGUUGGAUUUGCAUCUAAUUCGCAUGUCCACCACUGGCCUUGCAGUGAGGAAGAGGAAAUUUAUAGGUGACAUAUGAAUUCUCCAUUCUUCCUGCACAAAUAAAAUAUUGUUAGAUACCGAAUGCAUUCCCACUUACAUAAAAAGUAACACAUAUUAGCUACCUCGUUAAGCCUAUAGCUUCUAGGUUUAUCAGGAAACAUUGCUUUGAAAACCCUACACUUAUCCUCCAAAUACUCAUCGAACAACGCCUGAACUUUCCCGAAACGCGUCAAACACAUACACUGUUGUACAGUGAUGCAUAUAUAUAACUCAUUAUAGGAAAUGAGAGUGAGAAUGAGACCUGAGGAGACUCGUGCAAUUGAACAUCGGUAGAGAAUUUAGAUGAAUACUUGGAGGCUUUUACAGUUGACAACUGGCACUUGGCUCCUGGCCGUAAUGUUCUCAUCUCCGCCGCUGUAGACCUGAUUCUUCCCAGCAUUGUCGGACACGACAAAACUGUUGAGCUGACAGCCAUGUUAGUAGUCUCUCUCUAGGUUUUCAAGAUUGGAUGAUGUUUGAUCUUUCCCACAUGUUUGAAAGAUAAGGGGAUAUGUGUCUUUCGGCCUUGUAUGUAGACGUGGUAUAUCGAGGGACUAUCCACCUCAUCAACAUUUUGAAUUCUUGGCCCUCUUUGAUUUACUCCUUUAUUCACGUUUUUCUCACUAUUAAGAAGAAGACAAUCUUGUUGAACAAAUAAUUAAAAAAAAGAAGACAAUCUCUUUCUCUCUAUACUCUUUCAGUCUUUCUUCGGUUCUCUGUUAUGAAAACAGUCUCCUUUCUUUCGGCUAAAUCAGGUCAAUAACAGAAAAUUGUGUGUUUUUUUUACAGUGUUCUAAAAAUUGGUUUAGAUGACACAUUAAAAAAAGUCUAACCAUACAUUUAAUCAACAAUCUUCGUAAAAAGUAUAACUACCGCCUAACGAUUUUUUGCAUUGUUUUUCUCUCAAAAUAUUACAAUUGACAGAUUUAAUAUUCAAAUAUUAUAGUUACUCCAUAACUAAUAGCUCGACGGCAUAAAAUUGACAUGAUAUAGUCAAUAGUUUCGUCUAUUUUUAACAGUUGACUAUUAUAAUCCUAAUUUUUUUAAUUAUAAUCCUAGUUUUAUGGUGUAUAUAUAUACUAGUUGAUACAAGUUGUUUUGUUUAAUAUAAACGUAUACGCCAAACAUGGCGCAUAAAUUACAUUCAAACCAUUAAAGCUUUAGCCUUGAGAUUAAAAACUAAUGAUGUGUUCUUCUUUCAUUCUUAAACCUAUUAUAAUCAUCGAGCAAGCUCUCAAUAACCUUAUGCUUCAUAUUAUCCACCAAACCAUUUAAAACCUGCAGAAAGCAAAUAAAAACAUAAGAUAAUAUAUAAAUUUGGAAUAUAGUGUUUUGAAUUUGCAAAUGCAUUUAUUUCUAACCGCAUUGGCAACGUUUCUCCUAACAUCCUCUGGUACAAGCAUGAGAACCGUAGGAAGCACGAAGCUAACGUUCAUCUCUAGUCGACCUUUGAGCCUUGUGUGCCUUCCGCCUCGGUCUGGGUACAAUGCUCCUUGAACUCCAAGGGUGAAAUCAGAUGGCUCCAUGACCCGGUCAAGCCCUUGAAGCUCCCAUUUCAUCUGAAAAUAAACCGUUCAAAGAGAACAAAAGAGUGAGGUAUUUAGACUUUUUAGUACUUCCUCCAUUCAACGAAGAUAUAAAUCUUGGAUAUUUCACACAAUUUAAAUAUAAAUUUACAAUUCUAAAAUAUUUUUUUAAUACCAUAAUUUAAAAAAAAUCAAUUUAUUUCAACAGUAUUGUCUUAAUCAAUAUGAUCAGUAAAUAAAGGUAAACAAUUAUUCAUAAAACUUUUCUCUUUCUGAAACAAUUAAAAAUGUCAAAACUUGUAUUUUUGUGGAAAGGAGUGAGUACCAUGUUAAGCUCAAGGACUUUGGUUAUGUCUAGAGGUACAUCAGGCGGGUAAUCCUGACCGGUGGAUUUGCAUCGGAUCCGCAUGACCACCACUGGCCACGCAGUGAGGAAGAGAAAUUUUAUUGGCAACAUUUGGAUUCUCCAUUCUUCCUGCACAAGUAAAUCAUGUCGGUCUUUUCGUUAGAGUAACCAAAGAAUGCAACCCAGAGCCGUGCCUGACUAGAGGCUGAUCAAGCACUUGCUUGAGGCCAAAACGUAGAUAAAUAGUUUUAUGGGCCAAUUUCUUGGCAAGAGUUGUCUACAGAACAGUUGGUAAUAGUCUGUAUUAUUACUCUAGGGUCCCGGGUUCAAUCACGAGUAUAGCAGUUUGACCUUUUUUCCAAAAAAUUUAUAGUUUAUGGGGCAAAUUUUUUUUAGUGCUUUAGGACCCACAAUAUUCAGGCAUGGCCCUGAAUUGCAACCCCACACUUAUAAAAAUGGAACAUGGAUGUUACCUCGUUAAGCCUAUAGCUUUUGGGUUUAUCAGGAAACAUUGCUUUGAAAACCCUCGACUUAUCCUCCAAAUACUCAUCGAACAACGCCUGAAGUUUCAAAGCAUUACAACACAAACAGUUUUACACUGAUGCAUACAUAUAUAACAUUAUAGAGAUUGAAAGUGAGAAAGAGAUACCAGAGGAGACUCGUGCAGUUGAACAUCGGUAGUUAUUUUAGAUGAAUAUUUGGAGGGUUUUACGGGUGACAACUGACACUUAACUCCCCACCGUAUUGUUCUCAUCUCCACCGCCACCGACCGGCGUCUUCCGAACAUCUUCGGGCAUGACAAAACCAUUGAGCUUACAGCCAUUUUACCAGUCUUUCUCUCUCUUUUUUGGUCUUCAAGAUUGGAUGAUAUUUGAUCUUUCCCACUUUUCUCUCUCUCUAUAUUUAUAUAUAUCUUCAGAGGAAAGAUUGCGUCUUUGCUUCUCUUUAAUACGUUUAGAGACCUUUGUUAAAGAAAAUAGAGACAGAGAGUAACAUUCUCACGGUACGCAUUUGGAAGAUAGUGGAUUUCGAGAAAUAAUUGUUGAAACAUUGCUUUUCAACCUCUAUAGUAACCGGGUACAUAUUCGGUUUGGUUUAAUUGUUUCAGGUUUUGUAAGAAAUAUAAGUCCACUUCAUUUAAUUUAGUUUAGUUUGGUUUGGUUUAGUUAAGAGGUUACCCAUUUAUUUUGCCAUCUACGUGGUGAUAAUGUAAAGCCUCGUCUGUCACGCAGUUGUUGAUGAGAGUGACACGAGAACAUUGAACGUUGAGAAUAAUCUGUAGAAUAACUUCUAUCACACGCAGAGGUUUUGAAAAAAAAAAGAAAAAGAAUUCAUUGCUUUCGAAACCGACAAACUCUCGGACCGAAUACUAAGAAACCGGUUUACUUUGGCGCCUAGGAAUAUGGGUUACUAACUUUGACUUUUAAUGUAAGCAAUAAGCAAAGAUCUCUUGUUGUUUGCAACUCUUUCAACUCUAUAAUCUUUGUUUUUCAGACUGGCUAAGUAAAUUAAAACAUUAAAAUCUUAUAUAGUAUGUUACGAUGACUGUUCAUAAACGAUUUGUUCAUGUUGGAUUGAGAAACUAUACAUGGUUGAGCAUUGACAUUAAAAUUCGGCUUUAGUAGAUAACUUGUGUAAUCUUCUCUCGUUCUUGAACCUGCUAUAAUCAGCGAGCAAGCUCCCAUUAACCUUAUGCUUCAUAUUCUCCACUAAACCUGUCAAAACCUGUAAAUGGGUCCAAAUCAGAUCAUGUGUAAAUCAUAAGAGAUAGUCAAAUAAGGUUUUACAUACCGCACUGGCCAAGUUUCUCCUAACGUCUUCAGGUACCAAUUCAAGAACCGGGGGAAGAACAAAGCUUAUGUUCAUCUCUAGCUGACCUCUGAGCCUUGUGUGCUUUCCUCUCCGGUCUGGGUACAAUGCUCCUUUGACUCCCAAACUGAAGUCAGACGGUUGCAUCACUCGGUCAAGCCCUUUAAGUUGCCAUCUCGUCUGAAAAGAAGCAUUUAAGAGUUUGAGUAAUGGAAGAUGAAGAAACGAAGAGAGAGAAAAGUUAUUACCAUGUUGAGCUCAACAACUUUGGUUAUGUCUAAAGGUACGUCUGCCGGGUAAUCCUGACCGUUGGAUUUGCAACUUAAACGCAUAUCGACCACAGGCCACACAGUGAGGAAGAGGAAAUUAAUUGGUAACAUCUGAAUCCUCCACUCUUCCUGCAAAAAUUCAAUUUAUCCAAGUAGACUUAAAAUAGUGAAAAAGGGGGCGUUCCGAGAAUUGAACUCGGGACCUCUCGCACCCUAAGCGAGAAUCAUACCACUAGACCAAACGCCCGUUUUGAACGUGUUUUAUAUAUAACUAAUGUUAGUCAUAUUAGUUGACGUACCUCGUUAAGCUUAUGGCUUCUGGGUUUGUCAGGGAACAUGGCUUCGAAAACUCUCGAUUUAUCCUCUAAAUAGUCAUCAAACAACGCCUAAAAGUUCCUCAAAAUCACAUUUAAGAAACGCACCAAAACAGUUUAAACUGAAUCGUGUUAUAGAGGGAGAGAGAGAAGGAGACCUGAGGAGACUCGUGGAGAGGAAUAUCUGUGGAGAGUCUUGACGAAUACGUGGCAGGUUUUAUGGAUGAUACCUGACACCUAACUCUCCACCGUGUAAUUGGUCUCAUCUCCGUCUUCACCGGUCGGUAAGUUCCGAACAUGGGCGAUGACAAAACCGCCAUUUCACCGAUUAUCUUUUCAAUAUCAGAACUUUUAUAUAUUCCACAUUUCUCUUUUGAUUUCUCUCUGAAAGUUAAAAACUUUUGAAAGAACUUUUAGAUUUCUCUAGAGGAGUGAAGUUGCUUUUUGCUAGAGAUUUUGGAGGGAUAAGGGGAUAUCUGUCUUUCGGCCUUCUAUGUCGACGUGGCAUAUUUUGAGACUAGCCACAUCAUCAACAUUUGGAAUUCGUAGGGCCCUUCUUUUCUUUGUACUCCUUUCGGACUUUUCCUUUCCGUUAGUGGAUGAGAAUGACACGAGACGAAACUAAAAAAAAAAAAAACUCAAAUGUAUUAUCUGACGACAAAGGAAGGUUCGACAAACUAAACUCAAUCCUUAUUUUACAUUAGUUCCACUGUACAUGUUCUGUCAUAUUAAAAGAUCAAGAAUAUUCAAAUCCUACGAGCAACGCAUUAUAUUGUCGGAUGAAUUUCCUUGAAAGUGUAUGGUUUGAAAUUUCAGGACUGUAGAGGGCACACAGAUGAUCCUCCUAAAGAAUGUAGAUAUCAAACCUUAAGUUCUGUGAUUUGUUCUUCGAUUUCUUGCUUAUAAAAGCAAACUAAAAUGAAAUGUGGAACGUAAAUGCCACAAUUGAUUCACGGCUUCGUUGAGCUCACUUCACUCUCUUUGUUAAAACUCAAAUACAUCUCGAUCUUCUUAGUUCCAACAACCAAAGAGGAUACAAAAGACAAUCUUUCACGGUUUAUUUCUAACAUUAGUAAGAAAAGGACUCGUCUCUUUCUCUCUUAAUUCCUUCACGGUUAAAACCUCAAGUCAAACCGUCAACACACUUAUGGGCCUUAUCCAUUUCCUAACUGGGCCUUAAUUUUAAUUUUAAUUUCUAGUCCAAUCGGUAAUCGCUUCGAUCUGUCGGUAGACAGAAUAGAAUAAUGGUUUCGCCGGUUAAACCAGUCGGCAAUCGGUACGAUCAGAUUGCAUAAAAGCAAAUCAUAAUAAGUCACGUGGCACAGUUUACACGGUUCGUAGACUCGUAGUGGUCGCCAUGUAAACAGCGGGAAAACAGGGCCCCACACAUAUUAACUAAGGAGUAGGACCAACAAAAUCAUCACCACGAAACGCAGCGUUUCCCCUUCGUCUCCGCGUUUAAAAUCUUCUUUCACCCUUUCGUCAUUUCGUCAGAUCCAAGAGAGAGAGAGAGAAAUCAGAAAAAGAUCUUGAAACGAUGCCGUACUACACCAGAGACGAGGAUGAAGUCGACGAUUUCGACGAGUUCGAUCCGACGCCGUACAGUGGAGGCUACGACAUCACCGUGAUCUACGGCCGUCCGAUCCCUCCUUGCGACGACACUUGCUACCCUCUCUCCUCCGCAGCGGAUGAAGAUUUCGAGUACGAGAGACCUGAAUUCACCUCGUACCACGAUCCUUCCGCCUACGCCGAAGAAGCUCUCAACCCCGAGUACAGCAGCUACUCCCGCCCCAAGCCCCGUCCCGGUUUUCGACCCGGUUCUGCCGGAGGCGGUCACGUCCAAGGUGAGCGACCCGAUCAGAGUUACGGAUCCGGUUACGGUGGUCAGACGGAGGCUGAGUACGGUAGGAGACCUGAAUCGGGGUACGGCGGAGCCACGGAGACGGAGUAUGGCCGGAGACCUGAGCAGAGUUACGGAUCUGGUGGAUACGGUGGCAGAUCGGAGGUUGAGUCUGGUGGCUAUGGUGGUAGAUCAGAGGUUGAAUCUGGUGGAUACGGUGGAAGAUCGGAGUCUGGUGGCUAUGGUGGAAGAACGGAGGUUGAGUAUGGCCGGAGACCUGAAUCUGGAUAUGGUGGGAGAUCGGAGACGGAGACCGGGUACGGAUCCGGGUAUGAGAAGAAACCGAGCUUCGGUGAAGAGAGGAGCGAGUAUGAGCGCAAGCCUAGCUAUGGAAGGUCUGAGGAUCAAGAGGAAGGAGGUUACAGGAAGCCUAGCUAUGGGAGAUCUGAGGAUCAGGUUGAGAGCUACAUAAAGCCCAGCAGCUACGGGAGGUCUGAGGAAGAGGAAGAAGGAGGCUAUAGGAAGCCUAGCUAUGGAAGGUCUGAGGAACAGGAGGAAGGGAGUUACAGGAAGCCUAGCUAUGGCCGUCGUAAUGAUGAUGAUGAUGAUGAGGAGCGCAGGAACCGUUCCGGUGAUGAUGAGGAAGGGAGCUAUGGCCGCAAGAAAUAUGUAAGUUCAAUAAGUUAAUUAUAUAAAGUUAUAGUCAAUUUGCAUCUAGAUUAUUGUGUGGAAAUUAAGUUUAUUGAUUGUUUAAACAUAAAACCCUUUUGUUGAUGGACUGAUCUCAACAUUGAAACUAAAGAUUAUAGUUUUGGUGAUAACAUCCAUUACCCCCUUUAACUUCAUUCGUUCAGUAUUUGAUUUAACAUUGACAUCUUGUAGGUUAUAACAAUCAUAGUACAGAACUUGCAUUGUGUUUUUUGCGUCUCGUUUGUUUUGAAAAUAAGUUUUAGUUUGGUUUUGAUCACAGUGUAGCGGUGUAACUCUGUUUUCACAUCCUGAAAUGGAGUUCCUUAAUUUGAAAGCUAUGUUCUACAAUCCCAUAAUAACGUUCCUGGUUCAAUGUUUGUUUGAAUAUAGACAUCUUGAAUAUGUCCCAUUGUUGAUCUUAGUGUAGAGUAGUCUCCAUGUUGAACUAAAGUGUUUGUCUUUCAUACCCUGUAACUCUGUUUUCACAUCCUGUAAUGGAUUAGCCUCGGUUGAAAGCUAAGUUCUUUGAUUGAAAUUGCACAUCAUGUAUAUGACAUUUGAAGAUCAUAGUUACAGAGUAUCUAUCUCCAUUGUUAUGGUGACCGUUAAUAGAGGCAUCACUGACUAAAGCUUUCGCUUAACGUUAUUCAUCUCUGCAUCAAAUUCUGUAGGGUGGCAAUGACUCUGAUGAUGAUGAGGAGAAGAAGCAGCAGCGUUACAAGCAUCACCACCACCAGAGGCGUCGUGAUGAAGACGAUGACUAAAGCCCUCACUCAGUGCUGGAAUCGAGUGCUUCUACUUAGCUUCAUAUUACUAAAUAAAAAGCUAAGGCAUAUUUAUCUUUGGAUGUUGUUGUUGUGUUUGUUUGAUUCUCUCUAGAUACAGCAGAGUCUGUGUCUGGGUUUGUUUCUGGUUCAUUAUAAGACCUUGAAUUGAUAUCGGGUCAUCAUCAUGAUGUUAAACUGUUGCUACUCUGUGUUUCGUUUUUAUUUAUGGAACUUUUCUCUUUUAUGGCUUCUGUUGUUUUGGUUUUGUCGAUAUUAAUAUUAAAAAUCAAAAGUCAUUGCCGAGAAGGAAAAAUAUUUUGUGGUAAAAGCUAGAUUCGAUUUUUUAUACUGAAUAUUUUAUGAUUAAAAACAGAAAAAAGAAAAUCGGUUUUGUAAUAGGAAUGGGUUAAUCAGAUACCUAUAUGUACAUUACACAUCUUUUUGCUUCAACAUCAGAAACUUACAACCAAACAAUUCUAAAAGAAGCAAUGUCAAGCGCUACAGUCCUCGAUGAAUCUAGCGUUCCUAGCCCCAGGAGUACAUGGAGGUGAGAUUCCACUAAAUAUAUUGUUAUGUAACAUAAGAUUUUUGAUUAUAAACAUUAUUAUACUGAAACGAAUUUUCUGGUUGGUUGCAGGAUGGACGGGCAGUUACGAUACGACAUUGCGAUGAACACCAUCAUUAUAAUCCUCAUCACUGAUGCGGUCUUACAUAUGACUCUGAGAGCCCACAAGAUUCCCCUUGCUGAUAACGUUGAGGGACUUUUAUGUACAUUUGUAGUUGCGUACGUGUUUGUCAUCACGACUAAUUGCGGGUAUUGGCUUACAGCAAGCGAGGAAGAAGGGUGUUUACUUGGAAUUUACAUCACGGGACGCCUUGGUCACACGUUAGGCUUUUGUAUUUUCCUCUGUCUCCUCUAUUCUAGUUCUCACUUGGCUAUGUACGUUGCUCUACCUUGUUUACUAUGUUUGGUGCCAGCCAUGUUUGCACCGUGUUGUCCAUGUCUGUGGAGAGGAGAGUCAACUUGGUGGAAUUUUGUGAAGCAACCACAACCAACAGUAGAUAUUGUUUAACUUUUGGACUAUUAUUAUUAAUAGAAUUUUUUAAUUCCUAAUUUUGUAAACAUCUCGUCAAUUGUUUGUUCUUAACUUUUCUCUCUUGCGAUCGGUGAAUUUUGUUUCCACUGUCUACCCAUAAACCUCGUGUUGACAUGUGUUUUGCGAUCUAACAAGAUAUUAUUAUGGUUUAGGGAUUGUUUUAGACAUCAAUCCUCUUUUGAUAUGGCUGAAGAAAAUUAAGAGUUCCUAGUCUUGAUUUGUUCCUGCUUAAUGUAAUUUGGGGAAAGUGAUCAUUUAUCUUUUGGUACAUUAUCAUUGUGUGUUGCAUGCAAAGUAUCAAUCUACUUGGAACUUAACAUUGCGUUAUUUGCAUCUAGCUUGUUUGGAAAAUAAGUUUUAAUUUGGUUUAAUCCCGUUGUUGAUCACAGUGUAGUGUGAUCUCAAUGUUGAACUAAAGAUAUCUUUAGUUUGUUCUUUAGAUUCUUUAUGAGUUACUACAAGCCUUUGUCUGCUUCCCUUUGGUUACAGGCUUGUCAUUACUAGUUGUAGAUCAUCAUUGAUUUUGCAGAACAAAAGAUGCAGAAGCUGUCCCAAAUAAGGACACAAGGACAUAAGUUUGUGCUUUAGAUCCUUUAUGAGUUUAUCUUCAGUUUUUGCGUUUUAGAUCCUUUAUGAGUUAUUACAAACCUCUCGACUCUUGUAAGGACAUAAGAUCUGUGCAUUAUCUGGUUACUGGCUGUACAAAGAGCUUGUCAAUUACUAGGUGUAGAUCAUCAUUGUUUCUGUUUGUUAAGAUGCAUUGAUGACACCUUACUCAUUGAUUCCCGAAACAAAAGAAGCAUAAGCUCUCUGAAAUAAGGCGUGGCCGCAAAAAUGCUAAAGUGUUGGUAUGUAGUCUAAGGCAUAGAUCGAAUAAAGCAGCGUUUUCCUUAUUGUCCCUUUGCUUUGUACAUUUUCUUAUUCACCAGAUUAGAAAAAUGGAUCUUGAAGCCAGGAGCCUUCCACCAAGCAUUAAUUCCAGCCUCCUUGUCAAACUAAGAGAGUUUUCAAGUCUGAUCUCAACAACUUCAAAAGCGAAGUCAAGAGAUCGAUGAGGUCAGCUGAUCGAUUGGGUCGAACCACAGACAGAAUCAAGAGACUGAAGAGCUUGGCGUCUCAGUCCUCCAAGACUUGCACAGUCAGAGACAGUCUUCCUCUCCUACGCACUAACGACACGGUAUGUGCUCUCUUCAACAAUUUUCUCUUACACGGGUUUUAUCAUGAAGAAGAAUACUACGUGUGAUUGGCAUCUCUUUUAACCAAUAGCUCGUUCUCUGAUACAUACAGCUUAGUGGAGUAGACGACAAUGUAGGAAAGAGCAAGAAGACCUUGACAGGCAUGACUAGGAGGAUGAACGGGAACAAAUGGACCAUUGGAGCCAUUAUCACCGCUUUGGUCGCCGCCAUUAUCCUCAUCUUCUACUUCAAACUCACCAAGUAAGCCUCUGUAUCUAAACUCUUUGUCGCUGAACAAAUGGUGUGCUGUAAGUAGUAACAGCUGAUGACGAGGAAGAAGAUAGAAGGAAGCUAAGACUCUGAGGGACAAAGAGGCUUCUGCAGUUACAGUGAAGCUACUGUAUAAAUAAUAUUAUAGAGGGAGUGAAAGAGAGACUUUAUCGAUGUAUUAGCUCAUGCCUCAUAGUUCCAGUUGAUACUCUAUAUUGUGAGAGAGAGUGAUACAGUUGUAUUGUGUGUGUUAUGGAUCAAUAGAGAUUUGGUUCAUGACAUCUGGCUUUUAUCUGUGUGAUAAGUUAUGUCUUUGCCACCUUUUGUAUUAUCACGUUCUCUUGUUUGUGUUUGCGUUUACAGUUGUGUAUUUUUAUACUAAAUGAUGCAGAUUGUUUUGUUUAUUAUUAAAAGCAAGCUUAAAUUACAUUUUAGACAAUUAGAACUUAAGCCUUGAGAAUAAGAACUAGUUGUGUGUUUUUCUUUCAUUCUUGAACCUGUUAUAAUCAGCGAGCAAGCUAUCAAUAACCUUACGCUUCAUGCUAUCCACCAAACCAGUCAAAAUCUGUAUAAACCUGGAAUAUAGCUGGUUCAUAAUAAGACCUUGAACUGAUAUUGGGUCAUCAUCAUGUAAACAGCUGCGACUCUGUGUUUUGUUUUUGUGCUAUGAAAAUUUCUUAUUUUAAAGCAUAACUUCUAUUGUUUUUCUUUUGUCCAUAAGAAAAUUUAUUUUGUCGUUAAAACCAAUGUGACCACACAAAACCACUUAUCUAAUCUAAUCUAGAAACAAUAUGAAACAAGCUUCCUGCCAAAGACAUACACCACAGUUACAACCACCUUUGAAAUCGACAUUCCAAGUAUAAACCAUCUUGGCCACAUGCUGUGAACAGUGGUUGAUCCUUCAGCUUCCUUACGCAGCUGUGAAGGUUCCAAAGAAGAGUGCGAUGACAAGCCACAGUAAGAACCAUCUAGUAUUGAGUUUUCUCCUCAGUGUCUCCGCUUUGUUGGCUUGUGGAGUUGUGCCAAGUUGAAGUACGUCGCCACGAAACCAAUGUUGUUGAGCAGGAGAUAGACAGUGUAACAUCGCGUGUCUCUGAAACGUAUGUAGCCAUUUGAAUCGAGUCCACUAGGUGGACUUGAGAAGGAAGCCACCGUGGUUAGGCCACCGAUGGCCAACACGAACUUGGUAAGUUCUUCUCGCUCUUUGUAAAGAGCCUCCAAAGGAUCCUGAAAUAAAUAAAGCGUAUGUAGCCAUGUGAUGUGGACUUGAGAAGGAAGCCAAUGUGGUUAGGCCACCGAUGGCCAACACAAACUUGGUAAGUUAUUCUCGCUCUUUAUUAAGAGCCUCCAAAGGAUCCUACAAUAAAGUGUACAAAUUUUGUAACUCAAAUCUUUUCCUCAUUCUCAGACAUCUCUCGUAGAAGACAUACUAACCGGUUUGCCUGAGAAAUAUAAAACUAAAUGUUUAAAGUACAUGCUUCUUAUAAAAUCAAUCUACAACUAUUCAAUAAAACUUGAUUUGCUUUUAUUAAACCCAUUAAAAGCAUUUACACACUCAAUCACACAACUAUACUUAAAUGCCACGACUUUCUCUUGUUCUAAAUAACUUUACGUCUUUACAUGUGUCUCAUUUGUAGACUUUCGUUACUACAUGUAACAUUUUUUCCAUGACUUUCAUGACCCGAAAUGAAGCUUUAAAAGUUCGUGAAACUAGUUUUCAAUAUAACAGUUCAUCAACUUAUCAACACAUUUACCUUAAUAUUCUAUGUUCCAAUAAAAUAAACAAACUUACUGCGAUUAUCGACGAAAUGGAGCUGAGGUUGAGGAAAGUCCUUGAUUUCCUAUCUUCAACAAAAAUAAAAAAGUAAAGAAAUGUUUUGCUAUUACAACAGCUUAUGUAGUGAUUCAGAUAAAACAAAAAAAUAAACACAACCUUCUGAUUGAUGCCACAUGAAAAAUGAUCAAUGUCUCUAAGCUUCUCAUCCUAAACGCCUUCCCCAUACAAUUUACAAAAUUUCUUCUCCUCUACAACUUUUGUCGUUAUGCGAAGAUGGUGACCCUCUGUUCAUUAAAUCGAUUGGGCUUUUUUUUCUUUCUUUUUUAGUAUCAUGUGCUUAAAGAUCCUAUUAUAAUAUUCUAAGUACGUUUUUCAUAGACGAGACAUCCCAAAUUUUUAUCUUUACUUUUCCUACACCAAUUCAUAGCUAUUUAUAUUUUGACGCAAACUAUAUAAAAUCGGAUCAGUUUACUCAAAACCCAGUACGUGGCUAAUCGUAAAAGAUACAUAGAAGUAUUCAACAAAUCAUUUCAUAUCAUUCAUUCAUUCACCCACAAAGAGCUCUCAAAUUGGUUUCGCAACUACAAAACAUCGAAUCCGUUCUUGGAUUAGGGUUUUGAGAUUGAGUCUCAUCAAUUUUUUUUGUUUCUUAUUGUAGAAAACUUUCACUUUGAGCUACAAGACAACUACUAGUGAAGGAGACCAGACAGUUCCAGAUCCGUUUCCAAAGUUGUUGGAUAAUUUAGGACCAUCUUUAGUACAUUUGUUCUUCGUCCCUGAGAAAAGAGGAGGAUCGAGUUAGGUUAAAUUUGCUACAGGUUAUGUCAAAUUGUGCGGGAGAAUGUCGGUAGUAAAAUGAACUUACUUAUGCACCUUAGUGUUUGUUAUCACACCUGAGUGUGUUGAGAUUCACAAUCUGAUUUUGAUGGAAGAAAGCGGGAAGAAACUAGUUAGCUACUUUCUUGAGAAUUCAUUUGUUCUCAAGAAACUCAUCCCGCGUUUUAGGGAUUCUUUAAUAUAUCUUACUCAGAUUUCUUCAAGGAGCUUCUUAAAUUCAGAAAGCGGUCUUGCAGUUGUCCGAUUAUUUUUCUUUGAGAAAUUGGCGAUUAGAGUUCAUUAUUUAUUUUGAUUUUGAGUAUCAUUGUGUAUGAAUUUCGUAUGGAUUGUAGAUUUUAUUAAAACCUGUUCCAUAAAGAUUUAUUUUUUGAUGGAAAAAGAGUAAACGACUUUAUAAGAUUUUGUUGCAGUUAAAAAUUAAAAGAUAAACAAAUAUAUAUUAUGUAUUUAUUUAUGAAAUAAGAAAAUUAAUUAAUACUUGAUUUGACAUUGUUAUCUUUAAGAAAUUUUAUACCUUCCAACAUGUUAAUAAAAUUGAUUACAUUAAAUAUAUCAACCGUGGCAGUUACAGCCCCCGAUUAAAGCAUUUGAUCUAGUCAGUAGAUUUCUUGGAAAUCAAGUUUCGAUUCCAUUUCAUUUGUGCAUGUUAAACGCCCUAGUAAUAGUUGUGCUGACUUCAAACAGAUCGGAGGCUUACUGAAUUUGAAUUUGGUCGACUUUGAGAAGGUGAACAAAAUUCGAUUGUGAGUUAUUUCAAAAACGUUUUUAUUGAUAAGAUGAAAAAGAGGUUACAGUGUUUGGACAUGUAAAGUAUAAAACACAAAUAUAAGUUGUUGUUUUUAACACUAGAUAAAUUACCAAUUACUAAUGAACAACUAUACAGAUAAUAAAGAGCCUACAAUACUUUGAAAUGUUCGAAGAGCUUUGCAUAUAAUAAUCUGUAAUAAACAAAACAUAAGUGUAAAAAUCUUUAAACAAUAACCAUUAAACUAUAGUGCUUAUACGAGUCGUAUUUGUUGAAAACAAAACAAGUAUGAGUCGUAUGACCUGAACAAAACAAAAUCGAAUAACAAACCGGAUCUAAUUGACCACUAACCGGAACCGGUUCAAUCGGGAAUUGACUCAAAUCCCAUUAAGCGGCGCAUCGCGAGAAAAAGAGCCAGCAACUGUUCAAAAUAUCUCAAUAGAUAGAUCAAAAAGCAAUCAUGGACACCAUCAUUCAUUAACAAAUAUCCUCUGAAACCUCCGUUUGAAUUAUUUCUAUCUUCUCACAUCGCAUCAUGGGUGCUUCAUCCUCUACAGAUAAUAAAGAAUCAUCGGAGAAGCGAGAAAUCGAAAGCCUCGCUGCUUCCACCGGUGCUCUUCCUCUGCUUCAACGAUUUUUCUCCAAGCUCGCCGAUCCUCAGACCAACACUGUUUCCUUCCAAUCAUUCAAGGUAAUAACGAUUAGGGUUCUGAUUGUUCUUAAAGAGAAUCUGGAUUUGCAGUUACAGUAGUUUUGGGAUUUGAUCGGAUCGUGAAUUAGUGUUUUGACACUGAGUUUGAUCGGAUCAUGAAUUAGGGUUUUGAGACGUUUCAUCAAUUUUUUUUUGUUUUGUUUCUUAUUGUAGAAAAGCUUCACCUUGAGCUACAAGACAACUACUUGUGAAGGAGACCAGAAAGUUCCAGAUUCGUUUCCGAGGUUGUUGGAGCAUUUAGGACCAUCUUUAGUAGAUUUGUUCUUCGUCCCUGAGAAAGGAGGAGGGUUGAGUUGGGUCGAGUUUGCUAGAGGUUAUGUCAAAUGCUGCGGAAGAAUGUCUGCCUCCAUGUCUUACAACACUCUGUUGAGAGUGUUUCAUCUGACAUCUCAAAACGCAGGCUUUUCCUCGAAGCUGGAGUUCGAAUCUGACGAAGCUGAUUGUAAGAUCAACGGGUCGGUUUCCACCGUAGAGUUGGUUAUGUUUCUGUGGAUGUGUUGGACGAUGUCGUGGGAUGGUCGAAGCAGUAGAUCCAGCGACUUGUUUCUUCCUGAUAUAAGCCACUUGGUUAUGUCAGCGCUUGUGUCUUGCACCGAGUCUGGAGCUAGUUUGGAUGUUUGGGAUUCUGAUGUUUUCGGAUUGGAGCUCGAGCUUCCUGUCGGGAAAUUCCUGACGUGGGCAUUGACGACGAUUCCAAGCCUCACUGAGUGUCUAUCUCACUUCUGCAACGCGAGGCUUCAGCAUUGUUUAAAUGCAGAGGUACUCUUUCUUUACCUGUUGCUUUUCAUUUAACCGUAUGGUGUUCACUAAAAGUGGAUUACAGGAUGGAUCUGGGCCUUCAAAGUCAGCUGGUGGAGAUGAUUCUGCGUCCAAGACAUGUGAUAACACUCUUCUAACAUGUGGAAGGGCAUGGGCGAUUUCUUUGACGUCCAAGAAUACCUUAAGUGAGGAGAUCUUGAGCUCAUGCUUUCCCUGCAAUGGCGAUGAACCCAAUGAAAAUCUUCUUUACCGGUAUCCCACUGUCCUACUUCUGUGAAGGUUCUGUCUCUAUAGUGUAACUUAACGUGUUCAAUGUUCAUCUGUCUUUCAGCUCAUACCAUCAUGGGAAAGGCAUGAAUCGAUUGUGGGACAACGUUCAAGGGUAUCAUGCUCCUAUACUAUUGCUAGUUUCUGCAAGCGGUGGAGUUGAGCAGGAGGGUAGUUCAAGCGAGAGGAAGUGGGUCAUUGGUGCUAUCUUGCAGCAAGGUUUUCAGAACAGAGAUACAUUUUACGGAAGCUCUGGGAACUUGUUCUCCAUUAGUCCUGUCUUUCACGCAUUCUCAUCUUCAGGUACUGCACACAUCAGAGAAUUUUCGUAGGCGUAGUCAGUUGUUUUGCAUUAGUGUAGUCUUAUAUGGUUUUGUGUUCAACUUCAGGGAAAGAGAAAAACUUUGCAUAUAGCCAUCUUCAUCCCUCUGGUAGAGUCUAUGACGCAAACCCAAAGCCUGUUGGAAUUGGUUUCGGGGGAACACAAGGAAACGAGAGAAUCUUCAUCGACGAAGACUUUGCUAAGAUCACAAUCCGUCAUCAUGCAGUUGAUAAAACUUACCAGCCUGGCUCUCUCUUCCCAAACCAGGUAACGCAAGUGCUGGUCUAUAUAUAUGAUUCAAGUUUUGUGGUCUUGGAUAUUUAUAACAUCUGUUGUUGCAGGGUUAUUUACCAGUAGAGGCUUUGGUGUCAGAUGUUGAAGCAUGGGCAUUAGGUGGAAAAGCAGCUAAGGAAGUUCAAGAAGCAUACAAGAAAAGAGAAGAGCUUUUCACUGACCAACGUCGAAAGGUAAGAAAAGAUCAAUAAGAUCUAUUUAUGCAAAUGCACAAAAGGACUUGCAAGUUUGACAAGUUGUUAUAUGUAUCUACAGAUUGAUUUGAAGACGUUUACGAAUUGGGAAGAUUCACCUGAGAAAAUGAUGAUGGAUAUGAUGGGGAAUCCUAAUGCUCCGGCUAGAGAAGAGAGGUAAUGAGUGAGGGGAGCAAGACUUGUUUGGUAUAUUUAUGCACAUACGUUUUCUCAAUAGAGGUUUCGUCUGUAAAGUAUAUAUUUGAAGAAACUCAUUUGCUGUUUGCGUAAGUUAUGUUUACUAUUAUCGUUGCCAAAACUCGAACCAGAGUGUUGAGUUUGAGAUUUACCCAAUAAAAAAGAGUUUUAUUUGAAGAGUUUUAUAGACGUUACAAUGAAUCAACAAGUAGAUAAUUGUGGUUUUAAGUUUCAACUAAGCAACUCUUUUCGUGUGAAAUGGUUUCCAGAGCUCUCUGCUUUCUGCUGAGAAUCAUCUCCAUCACUUUAUUCAUAGACUUGAUCUCCUCCUCUGCCUUCUUUAUCUUUCUUUCCUCCGACUCUUAUCUUCUUUCUUCUUUCUUCUUACCAAAACCAUUUUACUCUUUUCUUCAUCUCUUGCCUCACAGAUCCUACAACAAAGAAGGCCAUACCAAAACUUGGUUUUCUCUAAACCGAAUCAAUUUUAGUUAUAGUUCGGUUCAUCCUAACCCAAAAAAAAAACUAAAUGGCUUAAAAAUCGGUUAGACCUGAAUCUGGUUGCGUAAGCCUUUGGUAGAAGGUGAUGAACUUCAUAGAGAAGCUGUACAAGGGGGAUUAAAAUACUUGGUUUCUCUCCCAUUCAAGUUCCCUUACCUUUCUCUCACAUUCUUCUCUAUCCAUUCUCUAUCCAUUGUUCCUGUGUUAUUGUUAUUUUCUGGCCAUCUCAACCACCUAUGUAACUUCCCCAUCUGUUCUAGAGAAAUAGACCGAUGUAACUUCCCCAUCUGUUGAGUGGUACGGUAUUGUGCUCAAAGUCCCCUUGAAUACUAAAUUGGAAAUGUUGCUGUUGCUACGGUUUUGACGAUAGAAUAUAACUCAUAUGACAGGUUGGAAACUGAAUUAUUUUCUUUCAAACCAUGUCUUCAAAUCGAUCACAUUAGUUUUGGUUUUGCUUUUUGUUUCAAUGUUAAAUCAAUGUCCAUAAAAUUGGUUUUGUUCUUUUAUACUCUCACUAAAAAUAGCAGCAUUCUUAUUAAUAGAUGUAUACAUUGUGACAAAACUCAAUUCUAGUUAAUACAUCCUCUAUUUUUGAUGAAAAAUAUAAGUUAGAGAUGCUCUUACACAUUGAAUCCACAAGCUAAUGACCAACAAACUAGUUUAUUCAAAGUGCAUAAUUUACUAGCAAAACCUCCAUUAAAAACAGUGCUUGACAAACAUGAAUUCUCUCUUUCAAGCUCAAGAACAACGCUUAAACAAUAUAUGUAUCAGGUAGGAUUCAAAAGCUCUAAUCCGAAACAUGAAACAGAGUAUCACAAGGACAUGCAUAGGUAUUCAAAGCCUUAUCUGCUAUACUUCCUUUUAUCUGCUUUAAGUUUAUCCCUAAAAUCACACCAGUAUGUUGGCUCAUCUUGCAAAACAAGCCUCACCAGCUUCUUAUUGAGAAAAUGAAGACAUGAAUUAAACUUCAUGGUUUCUGAUCAAAAGUUGACAUCAAGAAAGAAACAAUACAAAUCUAUAUGUCCCAACCUGAAACCCAAAGCUUGAGACACAUAUCAAGAGUUAUACAUACCCAAAACUGAACAAGAGUAAACCCAAAUCAAGCGAGCAAGCAUAUCAUUGCUUCUUGUCUUCUGCUUUCCUCGGCUGCAAAAAAACAACAAACCAAACCAACACACACAAAGAUCAGUUCUCUCUUCCUCUCACAAUGAUAAAAUGUGUGAAAAGACAAACGGACCUUAACACCAGGAGCUUCUUGGUGAAUCUCUUCCUCAGGGAUGAUGACAGGCCACUGCUCCCCGGCUUCACGGAACAUCUGCUCCGUCUCGAGAUACUGCCCUUUAUCAAGAAUCAUCUUCCUGAUCGACUGAGCCGACGUGGCAGCCGCAUCGAAAGCUUCCUCGACACCAUUGACGAAAGUGACACUGAUCUGCGGUGGCUGAUCGUCGGUUCUGCGUUUCACCAGAACCUGACAGUUAGGGUUGGACUCUUUGGCCUUCCUCGCGUUGCACUGAGCCAAGAACUCGACGCAGGAGGCGAGUCUUGGGUCCAAUGUGUUGAACUCGAUCUUUACUUUUGAUAGGAACUUCAACAUCCUCUUCUCAAACCUAAAACAGUCAUUGAUAACAAAUCGUGAAGCGAGAUCUGAAGAUGAUUUCUACCAAAAUCUGAUAACCCAAUGAAAUUAAUAAGUAUACGAAAUUAAAUUGUGGGUUGAGAAGGAGAUCUCUGACUUACACAGGUCGACGGGGGCUCUCCGGCGAGAAUUGAUUUUAAGGGGAAAAUGCAGAAGAAACCGAUGCAGGUGGAAGGAAGACUGAAGAAAAGGGUUUUGGGCUUUCGACUGUGUAAAAGGACGAUAGUACCCUUAAUAUUUAUUCCCCUUUGCUUCGGUUUGGUUCGUUUUUCUGAUAGAGCCGCAGAGAAUUUUUGCAAUAAGGAUAGAUAACUAUUUUGAUUUUCUUGUAAUUGCAUUAACUUGAACUGAAGUACAAUGUUACAACGCUUAGGAAUCUAAAACAAAGCCCGAGAGAAAUAUGGGAGACACACUGCCGGCAAAGACACACCUUUCCAGAACCAUGACACUAAACAAGAGAAAUAAAGAAACUACAACAACAUAGACAACAAGAUUUUCAUCUAAAAACUUCAAUCUUUCCAUCAACACUGAUGAUAGGACCACGGCAAACCAACAUUGAAGAAAGGGAGAUAGCAAACCCCAACAGAAGUGUUAAAAACACCAGAUAAAGCACCAUUGGAAUAAAGGAUAAGGUGAUCUCUUGCUUAACCCUUGUCCCAAGGUAAUCAGAGACCCGGCGAAGCCACAAGUUCAAUACACCAUCCUACAAACAACUGUUGGAGACAACCACUCAACAAACCCAAACACUGGAAAGAGCAUGACACCUCAAAGAAACUACAAACCCCACUUCACAACCGGCAAGCGCAAAGAAGUAACCAGAACACGAACAACGCUCUGUAGCACCGGAAAAAAAAAACUGAUUUGGAGGAAGAAACAAAGCUAAUAUUGGAGCCACAAAGGAGACGACUCCCUUCCUACAGUUUCAUAAUGAAACACACCCGACAGGAAUCUGAACUUAUCAAGAAGAGGUUAGCAGCACAAAGGCAUUGCCCUCACUAGACGCCAAGAAACCCCAACCCGCAUGCGAGAACCGAGGAGAGGCCAGACCAGAACCCAACAACAUCAGAAGACUGCAUACCACCACACGAUCAGAGAACCGACGCAAAGACCAUCGAAAAGCAAACUCCACCAGAUCUACUACCACCCACAAAGAAAUAGGGAUGGCAAUAAAUAAUCUGGACCGCGGGCCUGACCCAUAAAGACUUACUGCGGGGCGGAAUCGGGCCACCUUGGUAAGCCCGCAAAAUAUAUAUGUAUUUUUUUUUUGAUAAAUGGUCAUGAAAACACACGAAGACAUUACAAAAUGAAGAUGCGAGUAUAAAUUAUACUAUCGUGAAAUUACAUCGCAGCUAUGAAUAUUACAUUUAUGUAACUUUAAAAUUUUAAAUUAUAUAUCUUCUUUGAAACGUUUGUCAUUUUUCUAUUAAUUUGGAGUAUUUCAGACCUGUGAAAAUCAUAAAUUUUAUCUUCUGUUUGGAUAUUUAAAUAAUCUGUAAAGCAUAAUUUCAUAUUAAUCUGUAAAGUAUAAUUUCAUAUCUACAAAAUCCUCUUGUAACCAACUAAACUAGAGAAGAAUUUAACAAAUAGUUGGCCCUUUAAAUACUUUAAUUAUCUAAGCCCCCAAGCACAUGCUUUACUUGCUUCCAUUCAGAGCAUCUAAAAAAAACUCUAUUUUGAAGUUUCUAAAACUCUAUAUUUGAAGUUUUAAGGUGUUUUUCUCCAAAAGCAAAACUUCAAACUUAACUUCAAAGCUAUUUGUAUUUUAUAAUAUGGUCCUAAUUUAAAUUCAUAAAACUUUUGUAUAUAACUAGCACAUAUGUAAACAUAUUACAAUAAUAUUAAUUAAUGAAAUAUUAUAUUAAAAUAUAAAAAUUUAAACAAAAUAACUUAACUAAUAUUAAACUUCAAGCAAAAUACCAUAUUAUUCCAUAAAGUGAUUUUCGUAGUGCAUAUAUGAUCUACUAGUGCAUUUUGAAUUAAAAAUAGUUUUCCUCAUUUUUAAUUUGUAGAUUAUAGAUAAUAAAUGUUGAAAUCGGGAGAUAUUAAUACUUGUAAAUACAUUAGAUCAGAACAAGAAAGUAAAAGACAAACAUAAAAUAUUUCUAAAAGACUAACUUUUAUCGAUGAUAUUAAUACUCGUGAAUAUAUUCAAUAUGAACAAGAAAGAAUUGUACGAAAAGAUAUCAUCAACAAAAACAACAACCAUCUUCAAUUACACCAAAAAACUAGACAAUAUUUGAAAUUUUGAAGGUUCCAGAUCAAACUUACCUAACUAUUAGUGUUAUUGUAUUAUUCAAAUUUGUGUAAUAGUUAUGUCUUUAUAUAAUUUUUUAAAAGUUUUUUUGUUAAGUUUCUUUUGUAUAUUUCUGUUAUAUAAAUCUAGUUUUAAAUAUUUUAAAUAUUCUUUUAACAAAAUACAAAUAAAAAUAUGAAACUUCAAAUUUGAAGUUUUGAGUAGUGAAACUUCAAAUAUAGAGUUUCACCUCUCAAAACUUCAAAUUUGAAGUUUUGAAGUUCAUUUUUAGAAAGUAAAAAGCUUUAUAUUUGAAGUUAUAGAGUGUCUUUUGUAGAUGAGCAUGGCUCUAUGUCUACUACUAUACUAUGUGAUUGUAAUUGGUUUAAGAUAUUUAAAGGUGUAUAGUGAUUCAGUUAUUGUUUAUGUAUUUAGGCAGUGCUGAAAAAUUAAUUCACGCAUGUUCAAUUUGAUGUUAGCAUUUUAAAAUCAGGUCGUAUGAAAGCAAGAUGAUCACCUAGACAAUUUUGAGUUUGACAUAACAAUAUAAUAUUUGAUAAAAUCUUUCAAACUUUGUUAAUAUGCUCACAAGUCAUAGUAUUACUAUUUGGUUGGUGGCCUAACACAUGUCUUUCGUCAUUGUGAAUAACAGUAAACAAAAUUGGUUUCUCACUUCUCUAGUUUCAAGAUAAAAUAUAGUAAUAAAUUUAAUGUUCUGGGUGGUAAAUUAUGAAAAAGAAGCAUCUCAUUAUAGAAACCUUUUUGGGUUAAGUAAAUGUUAUAAUCAUUCAAAAUUAGUUAUAAACUAGUAGAUUGCUGUCCAAAAAAAAGACUAGAUUAGGUCUAAGCAUUGCACAAGACAAAUGUAUUUAUUAUAUUAUUUAACUAACAAAUCUAUUAAAAUGCUAAUUCUACAUUGCAAAAUAAAUUGACUUCAUUAUUUUUUACAAAAAAUGUAACAAGAAUCUUCAUAUCUCACACGAACACAUGAAUUACAAGUCUACAACAGAUAUUACACCUCAGAAAUUCCAAAAGCAACCCGAUUCUCCCAUACCGGCUAAAGCGGAGGGGUCAGUACCAGUACCGGGGAACUGGGUUUCGUGACUGUUAAGCAACAGUUUCAUUAGCGAAUCAUUGUCUGUUAGAAACAGAGGAUCAGGGUAAAACAGAGGACCAGAACCGUCUUUGGACUCGAGAUGAAUGAGUCUUUUAUCUUCGGUUUCUUGGUCGGAGAAGCAGGUCACGUGAGUAGACGAACCAGGGAAGGAAUCUCGUUGAGAAGAAUCCAUCAACGAAGGUAAUCCGACCGGUUCAAUCCGGUUAACGUGUGAAUCAAGCAACAUUAAAUGGGACAUAUCAACCUUUGUACCAUCGGCACGUUUAUGGAAAACACGGCAAAUAACCCAAUCGUUCUACAUUCACACACAACAAAACAGAACACAAAAUAUCAAUUCAAUUCCACACAAAAAAAGACAAAAAAUGUCUUUGAUGUUAUUGUUACCUUAGCUGUCUGGGAGAGAUGUUGGAUAGAAUAUAUGCCUUCUAAUCGAUAUUCAUGCAUAACCCAAUUGGUUCUUACUCCUUUAGGAGCUCUUCCUUUGUAGAAAACCAGAGUCUUCUUCAUACCCACAAGUGAUUUCCCCUUGAAAAUCUCUUUAUCUUUGCCUGUGGCUUUCCAGUAACCGGCUUCAGUUGCCCGGUUUGUCCUUAAACCGGUUGGGUAUUUCCGGUCUCGCACACAAAAGAAAUACCAUUCUUUCUCCCCUAUCUUAGCUUUCCCUAUUUCACCAAAAGCCAUCACAUAUAUAUUUGUGAGUAAUAAUAAAUUACAGAACAAUAAUAACUAACAUAAAAAAGUUUAAAAAAGGUGGAAAAAGUUUAGAAAAGGCAUGAUACUUCAUGCAGUCUCAAACCAUUUGUAAAGUUUUGUGGAAUCAUGUAUAUUAAACAUAUAUAUUAUUUUUUUUUAACUUCAGAUAUAUAAAUUCAUAUUUACAGCUUUUGUUAUAGUACAAACGUUUUUUAAUUGCUGGAAAGGUUGUACACUUACUUGGUAACUCCCAAGGCUCGAUCUUGUUGAGAUCAACUUCACCAAUGGCGGUGGCAGAGAAGAAAGUGUUGAAGACCUUUUGUUUGAGAUAGUGAGUUAUGAGUUCUUCAUCAGUAGGGUGAAAUCUGAAUCCAGGUGGCAGAUCAAUUUGCUCUUCAUCUUCUACUAUUUCACCGAUUCUUGAUGCAUCGUAAUCCAUUUAUCCUAAUAAAGUUUAUUAGAAACAAUCAAAGUUAUGUAAGAGAGAAGAGAAGGGUUUUUGAAGAGAUGAAUAAAAGGGUUUUGAAGAGAGAGAGUGUGUUUUUUAAGAGAGAAGAGGAAAGGGUUUGAGCAACGAAGCUCCUCUCUAUAUACUAGUUUUCCAUCAGAGAAAUAAGGAAAUAAUAUUAUUAUUGUUGAUAUUGACCAAUAAUUGGUCAAUCUUUUGUGUAUCAAGUUCUUCUUUCAAAGUUUCAAACUAUGAGUUGUAUUGAAUUUCAAGAGUUUUUACCUACUAUAAAGAAAACUUUUAUCUUCGCUCUAAAUGAUUUAUUGUAUAUAAAUGGGUUUUCCGAUUUAAAUCUCGUACAGCCAUCAAAUCAUAUUAUAAAUCAGAAAAUGGGUGUACACACACAUUAACACAUACUAUAGUUAGUUUUCUUAGUAUGAUAGAGAAAGAGGAAGAUGCGUCGAUUGUUAGGCAACUUAAGAUGUGUAAUAUUCAAUAAUCAUUUCUCAUCAUUAAAAAUAAACCUUUCUAUUUCAAGAACUUUAAUAUUUCCAAGUUUCAAUUUGACCAGGAACACUUCACCUGUGGCUCCCUGUCCCUUUUUUGGUUAAUGUGAUAAGAACAAUCUUAUCACAUUAAAUCCUGAUGUUUUGUCCAUUCUUGAAACUAAUUAUUAGUUGCUGGAAAAAGAAUAUCAGUAGAAAACUAUGAUUAUUGGUUUGAAAACAUUUUACAUUGAAACUAUAUGAUUAUAUAAUUGAAACAUUAUAAAUUACCGCGGGUCACUAUUAUUGGUGUUGUGAUUCAGGAUAACUAUGAGAAAAGAGUUUACCAUGGUUGGAUAUAAUUUGUUUUAUUUACUUAACAAGUGUUAUCCCUCUCAUGAAAAGAUUAUGCAUGCAUGAACCUUGGAAAGUAGAUUCUUUAGUAUUAAAGGAACUCUUUUCUUUGUCCUAUUACAGUGCCUACCGUUAUAAGAAAUUAUAAUACUAGUAUGCAAGAUUUUUUAAAAAAGUUCAGUGAAAAAUUGGAAAGAAAAACGAUUUCCUUGUGAAGAUGGGUAAUGAUGAUGAAUGGAUGAGGAUUGUGAUGAUGAAAAUCUGUUAGAAUGUGAAGACAUUUUGAACAACCUCAACCUUAUCAUAUGUGAAUUAUUUGAUUUUUUUAAUGAUCGAAUCACGCGUUUGUGCAUACGAGGUUGUCAUUUGUCACUUCUACAACAUGUGCAUUUUAUUCUUUUCUAGCCAAAUUUCUUCCUCAGUAUUUUUAUUAUACUUGCUGUUUAAAUCCUUAUAUAAUCGAUGUAUUGGUAUUUUUAAUCAACUAUAGUUAUCAUAAAUUGGAAUUUGGAUCGAUACUGGAUAUAUAAUUUAUAUCUUUCUAUUGCACUCUUUUCUUUUCAACUAAUUUCCCAGACUCAAAAGAGAAAAGAUACAUAAGUUGCCAGAAAAAAAAUCAAUGUAUGUUUCACACUAAAAGAGCUAAUGACAAAAUUCAUAGUACAACAAAAAGAAUAUCAAUUCUAGAAGGCCAUAAAGCAACACUCAAGUGAUUGAUGGAACACGUGGAUUUUUCAAAUUAUGUUCCUUCUUCUCAAAAACCCGUUUAAGUUUCCUUGCCUUUUUGACCAAAUUCCCCAAUCUAUCAUUUGUCAAGUUGCUCCUCCAAAAAAUUGCUUAUACUCUUUUUAACAGAGAUGAGUAGGGUUACAUAGACAAAUUGGUUAUAUAUAUUAGGGGUGGGCAAAAAACCCAAACCGAACCGAACCGAACCAACCAAACCGAAGUUAAACCGAACCAAACCAAACCGUGCUCUUUAUGUAACCCAAUUGGUUCAUGUUUUACUCAACCCGAACGGUUUGGUUUGGUUUGGGUUUAAACCGAACCAAACCGAACCAAACCGAUAAUCCAAUAUAUAUAUAGUAAAAAUAUAUAUGAUAUAUAUAUAUGUAUUAACAUAUUGCAAAUUUUAGUUAAAGUUUCGUUUUUCAUUUUUUCAUAACUUCCAUAUCUUUAAAAAAAAUUAUAAAUACGAUUCAAAUAAUACUAUUAUAUAUAAAAUCAUGUAGCAUAAGUUUUUAUAUUCUCACUCUAUCGUUUAUGAGUUGAUUAUUUUUUAAUAAAAGUAUAAAACUAAUGCCUUCAUAUUUUAUAACCAACCCAAACUACACCGAACCAAACUAGACCAUAAUAAUGUAAACCAAACUAAAUCUAAACCAAACCGAACUGAACCGAACCGAAUUAAACCCAAACCGAACCCAACCCAAAGCUACUUUGGUUUUAAUUGGUUUGAGUUUUAUAAAACCCAAAUUACCCAAACCAAACCGAACCCAAACCGAACCCGAAACUAAACCGAAAUGCCCACCCCUAAUAUAUAUAGGGGUUAUUUGUGAAAUAACCAAAAAAGAGUAAUUAGUAUUUUUUAAUGAGAGGUUAGAAAGAAAUAGGAAGAGAAAUGAGGAAAGAGAUGGUUGUUUUGGUUAGAAAAUGAAUUUGAGGUUUUUAUGUAUAUAGGGACAUAUUUCCCUUAUAUACUUUUUGUUUUCAAAAACAAAAACCAAUAUAACUACCGCAUCAUUAUUUUUCAGUUUGUUACUGUGAAUGUUUUUGAUUUGAACGCCAUUGACUAGAUCAUGUCCAACUUCUUCAUGACCAUUAUUCCACUAUCUCUUUAUCAUGGCCUAAAACCUCGCGCAUUCAUAUCAAAAAUCUCAUUAGAAUCGAAUUGGAGAGUUUUCAAAACUCUAAUGCUUCUCCAUAUCAAACAUCUCAUUAAAAUCGCCAAAUAUUAUUCACUACUUCUUAGUUCUUACCUAUUAUGGGAGAGUUGUGAUGAUCCAUCAGUUCCCCAUAUAGAACUUCUACCGUUAUCGCUCUUCCUCGAAGUUAGAAGCGUAAAGUGUUUUAUGAUAAAAAGACAGAAAGGAAAUGGGAUGGCAAGAAACUUAUAGAAUUUUUGUUAUGAUCUAUAAUACAAUUAUUAUUACUUCGAUUUGUUUGAUUAUUUUUUACUCGUGGUUCUUUUACUAAUUGAUUAGUUAAGUUUGGCUACACUUGUUGUCUUAUAAGAUUGAUAUCGUAGAAAAGUGAGAAGCUUACAAAUCAGUUUGACGUUUUUGAUUGGGACUCGGAUAUAGUGGAUUCAGAGGAAGUGGAUGAAGAUUUCAUUGUCGACCUAAUGACUCUAUCAACUAGCAGACUUCUUUAGGAUAGGUUGGUGGCAAUUUCUGAAAUGCAACAGAGAUGAAUGCUACUUUAAGCUCAACUCAACUAAGGCAAAAGGAAGUCGAAUACAUAGGAAACAUGGUUGACGUGGUGGGUUUGGCUAACCUCACUAUGGUGACCAUGGAUAUCCUCUAGAUAGUUUUAGCUCUUGCCCGUUUCACUUUUAAGCAUUCAAGUUGCUUACUUGUUGCUUGUAAAACCUUUUCUAAAUUGCAACUGUUGGCUUUACUGUUGGCUUAAUAUAUAUGUACAAUGAGAAGGUCUAUUAAUAUUCAAUGGUGUGAGUUCUUCUACACACAUUUUCUUAGUGUGAGCCCGUCCCGUGCAUCAUAAACGUAGACCUCAUGUCGAAGUAGAACAUUCAAUUAUUUUUAUGAGAUGAGAGCAUAUAUCUACUACGAACAAAAUGCAUAUUAUUUUACUAAACAAUUGGGACGAAGAUAAUUUGUAUUAUUCGUUCCAAGUCCAACUGAGACAUUUUUUGCCAAUCAAUACAUUAUAUUAAAAUCUUCAAAUGAAGAUGAUGCAUACAAUACAAAAUUGAAAAGAUAAAUGGAAUGAUAAAAAGUUAGAAAAGAAAAGUAUAAGCCUAACAUCCAUGAGUCUCUAGCCUACUUCAAUUCUUGAAUGGAGCUAAACCAGACUUUCCAGUGGUAAAUAAAACUGAAACGUUCUUCUCGAUUAAUUGAGAUAUGUUGGCUAUUAACAAUGAUGAGUUCAUUUGCUAAGAACUUUAUGCUAUUUUUUUUUUAAUCAAAAUUUCUAAAGCUAAUCCUUUUUUCUAACACCUUUCUAAAGCUAAUCAAUCGUUUCCUUUUGUUUUAGGCUUUUAGCAGUUCUUUCCUUUUCAGGAAAUAUAAACUAAAUUCUAUAAAUCUUUUGCUACUUGGUGGUGCCAAAACCACGUGUCGCUUGAUUUUUUGAAACGGCAAGAGUUUCAUACGUAUCGCCAACCCCAACCUUCUCUUGGACACGACACAAGUAAGACGAAUUCCAAAAUAGACACGUGUUUGGAUACAAAUGGGAGUUAAUAAGUAUCAAACGCUAUUCUUAAUUAUCGUAAUUCAGUUGCUGAAAAGAACUGAUUUAGCUAAUUAAGUGGAAUUUCACUAAUUAAAGUUUGACCAGCUUCCUGAUUCGAAACAUGAGUUGCCAGUGGGAACAAACACGACUCAAAACUCCGUUACCAUGAUUCUGUGCAAGACCCAAUGGAGGAAAUGAUGGAUGCAGACUCUUCAGGAUGAUUGCAUGAACUUUGACUGACGUAGAAGUCCGGUCCACAGAGAUCCUAAGAGUUUUAAAUGUUGUUUCGAUGAGUAAUGCAUAACACUAUUAAUUAGUUUCCAAAAUUGGACUGGUUAAGGUAUUCUCAAGAUGAGUUAUAUUGGGUGCUAGUAUUGUAUAUAGGUUUAUUCAGUACGCUAUAUCUUUUUGUGGCGAUGUUUUGUCCUGAGAGAUUCUUUUAUCACUACAAGAAAACAGCUUGUUUCCUACAGACGAUUUAGUCGAAAUAAGCCAUUUCUGAUGAAUUUCGUUGGUUCUAUCUCGUCGAAAAAAAAACGUUUGAAUUUCGUCGGAUUUCUGACGCAUUUCCGACGGACAAAUUUCCGACGAAAUACCGACGAAUAAAUUUCCGACAAAAUACCAACGGAUAAAUUUCUGACGAAAUUCUGACAAAUCUUAUCCGUCGAAACUUUUGUAAACUAUUUUUAAAAUAAAAUAAAUUUUAUUUUAAAUAUAAUAUUUAAUGAAUUACGUAUAACAAAUUUUAAAAAUCAUUUAUAAUAAAUAUUUUUAAUUCUUUAUAUAUAAAUAAAAUAAAAUUUAAAAUUAGGAAAACGUUUUAACUAAAUCUUUUUUGUAAUUGAACCCAUUUCCUAGAAAUUAAAAACAUUUUAAUUAAAUCUAAAAAAAAACAAAAACUUUUUAUAGAUUGAAAAGGUUUAAAAAAAUGUGAAAAACGUUUUGAUAAUCUUUAGUAACCAGAAAAUGUUUUAUAAAUUAUAACAAACAAUAAAAACUUUUUAUAAGAACUUAAAUUUUUUUUUUUGAUGAAUUUUUUUUUUAAAGUUUAAAACGUUUUAUAAAAUCAUAAAAACGUUUUAAAACAACAAUAAUAAUAAAAACUUGAAAAUGUUAUAUAUAUAUUUAUUUAUUCUAAUAAAACUCCAAAAAUGUUUUAAAAUUUGAAAAAACAUUUUAUAAAUAACAAAAAAAAGAUUCACAAAACAACAAAUUAAAUAAACAAACUACAAAAUCACAAGCAAAACCUAUCUAAACCACAACAUAACAACAAAAUCUAACAUCUAAUUCAUAAUAUUCUUCAUCCUAACAUAAAUCCAACAUUCAAAACCUUAAAUUCACAAUUUCACAAUCAAAAAGUAACAUAAGUCAAAUGAGAAAAGGAAAGAGAUGACUUACAUAAUUUGUGAGGUGGAUUUGAGGAGUUUGAGCUUAGAAUCGUUGGAUUAGAGAGAGAGAAUCAAAGAGAAUUUGUGUAUGUUUAGAGAGAGAGAGAGGAGAAGUGAGGAAGAAGAAGGGGCUUGCGCUUUUAUAUUAAAAAUUUCUGACGGAUUGGAUUCAUCAGAAAUCCGUCAAAAUUUUUUAUUUUGACGUUUCACGAAAAAUUAGGCAGGGUUUUUCGGGGCAAAUUUCAAUUUCCGACGAAUAUACCAUUUUCGUCGGAAAUUCGCCGGAAUAUAUCAUUGUCGUCGGAAUUCGACAGAAAUAUAUUUGUCAGAAAUUUCCUACGAAUUUUGAACGAAUUAUAAUAGCCAUCGAUAAUAAAUUGAUGACUUUUAGGGUUUAAAAUCUUCAUAAUGUUUAGAAACACUUGAAAACACACAAACUAAAGAUUGCAAGAUGGAUCACCGAAAAGUAUUUGCUUAAGUGUAUAAGUGUUAACGAGAAAUAUUAGGUAUCCGUCCAUGCAUCAAUCGCAAGAAUAUAUAUAUAGCUUAAAUAAUUGAGGCAAUAUUAAUCUACAUCAUAUUUAUCACUUAAUAUAUCCGGAUGAACAUUUAUUUUGAAUAUUUCAUAUCUAAACUCAUGGUCGUCGAAAAUUCGUUGGAAAUUUGUGUCGAAUAUGCUACGAAAAUUUCGCAAUCCAUCAGAAUUUCGUCGGCAAUUUUCUAGGAAGAAAUUUGUCAAAAUUUCGUCGGACAUUUCUGACGAAUUUCCUACAGAAAUUUUUCAUUUCGUCGGAAAUCCGUCAGAAAUUUCUGAUGAAUUUCCGACGAAAACAUAAACCCCAAAUCUAUACCCUAAAUCGUGUAAUCUUCCUUGGGAGUCGUCGGUAUUUUGUCGCUUAUUUUUGAUGAAAGAAAGUUCGUCGGAAAUUCCUAAGAUAUUUCCGACAAAUGGUAAAAUUUUAUAUUUCUCGAAAUCCGUCAGAAAUUUCUCAGAAAUUUCCGACGAAUAUUUCUUCCGUCAGAAAAUGAAUAUGUUUUCUUGUAGUGUAUUGCACAUGGCCAUUUGCUAAUAAUCCAGUUUUAUGGAAUGGAUCUUGUGUGUUCACGAGGUUCAUGUGGCAGUCUUUUUCAACGAUUGGGACUUGGCUUUGUUUUAACUAGUUUUUCUAGGUGUUCCGGAUUAAUGAAAAUUCUAAGUUGGAAUUGCAGAGGACUCAGGAGUAAAUGGAUUAUUAGUUAUUUGAGAGAAAUUAGGGGGAAAUAUAAACCAGCGUUUCUAUUUUUAUCGGAAACCAAACAGCAAUUUGAUUUUGUGCAGUCUUUUUAAUUUCAUUUUGGAUAUUCUCAUCUCCAUACGGUUGAUCUUAUAGGGAGGAGUGGUGGGCUGGCUCUAUUUUAUGAUUCCACUUAUAAGGUAUAUAAACUCUUCAAGCAACAUAAUUAUAGACGUCGAGACAAAAUAUAACGGAAAAUGAAUUUUUAUUUCACUUGUUUAUGGCGAGUCAAAUCAAAAUUUUAGAGACCAGAUUUGGGAGAGGCUUACAAUAGGGAUCUUGAGGGACGAACCAUGGUUUAUUAUUGGAGACUUAAAUGAGAUUACGGGUAAUCAUGAGAAACAAGGAGGAGUUCUUAGACACGCAGAUACGUUUUUACAAUUCAAUAAUAUGAUAGAGAACUGUGGUCUGAUGGAGUUUCCAAGUCUUGGUAAUACUCUUUCUUGGAACGGAAGAAGAGCUGGACAUGUGUUAAGUGUCAACUGGAUAGGGCAUUGGCAAACAAUGAAUGGCAUAAUCUGUUUCCUUGCUCUUUUGUUGAAUACUUGGGUAUGAUUGCCUCUGAUCACAGGCCGAUUGUGGCAUCAAUAGAGGAUAAAGUACUAAACUUUUGACGGUAAUUUAGAUUUGAUAAAAGAUGGAUAGGUGAGGAUGGACUGAUGGAAUCUAUUGAACGUGGAUGGUCCACUCAGAGGGGUGGACGCCGCAUGGGUAUAGUAGAUAAAAUUCAUAAUUGUUGACAUGAAAUUUCUGUUUGGAAAAAGGAAAAUCCACCUUAUGGGAAGGAAAAAAUAAAUACUCUUCAGAGGGCUCUGGAGGAUGAUCAAAGCGAUUUGACAAAAUCUCUUGAAGUAGUGAUUGAGGUGUCCAGGAAACUAAAAGAGGCAUAUCGAGAUGAAAAAUUAUAGUGGGAACAGAAGAGUAGAACUUUGUGGCAUACAUGUGGAGAUAGAAAUACUAAAGUAUAUCAUGCUUUAACCAAACAAAGACGCAUACAAAACAUGAUUAUUGGUUUAUAUAACGAGGAUGGGGAUUGGAUUAAUUCAGAAGGUGAUAUGGAAAGUGUGUCGCUUAAAUAUUUCAAUGAUCUGUUCCAGUCUACCCCGCCUUCAGAGUUUGAUAGGUUUCUAGAGGAAGUUCCAACUUGGUAACAACUGCUCAAAAUAAUAGACUAACGGCUCAUGCUUCAAAGGAGGAAGUUAGGACGUCAUUAUUUAUGAUGCACCCGGAGAAAG